Molecule: long non-coding RNA, 69149 nt
Filed under: Aquilegia coerulea
Lineage: Eukaryota; Viridiplantae; Streptophyta; Magnoliopsida; Ranunculales; Ranunculaceae
Description: long non-coding RNA (ACOE_LNC002130)
Source: RNAcentral
AGAAAAGAACUUCUCACUUCUUUCAUUUCACAAGAGAAAAAAAAACAAAAUCCUCAAGAAGUUUUCGAUAUAAUCUUAAAACUCUCAGACGAAGAAGAAGAUGGAUGUUAGGAUGAUGGGUUAUGGAAAUCCACUGAUUUCAACACUUCAACAAAUUCUCAAUUCAUCAGAAGAAGCAGAGAAAUCAUACAAUGCACCUACUCGUACCUAUGUUCAAGAUGCAAAAGCAAUGGCAGCGACACCAGCAGAUGUGAAAGAAUAUCCAAAUUCAUAUCACUUUGUUGUCGAUAUGCCUGGUUUAAAGUCUGGUGAUAUUAAGGUUCAAGUUGAAGAAGACAAUGUGCUUGUUAUAAGUGGUGAAAGAAAGAGGGAAGAUGAGAAAGAAGGUGCUAAGUAUUUGAGAAUGGAAAGGAGGGUUGGAAAGUUUAUGAGGAAGUUUGCUUUGCCAGAGAAUGCUAAUAUUGAUAAGAUUUCUGCUGUUUGUCAAGAUGGUGUUCUUCAUGUUACUGUUGAGAAAAUUCCUCCUCCUGAGCCUAAGAAGCCUAAGACUAUUGAAGUUAAAAUUGCUUAGAUUGGGUAUUAGGAUUGGAAUUUUUAUGUUUUGGCCAGUGACCUUGAUCAUGAUGUUGUUAUUAUUAUUGAGGUCUUUGGGUUAAUGAAUCAGUGUGUAGUUUUGAAUUUUGAUUAAUGUAAUGAAUUUUAGUUUAGUUUCAAUGCAAUUCUAUUUUAUAUUUCUUGCAACACCUCUGCCAUGAUAUGUUUCUAUCUAAACAUUACAUCUCUAUCGUCGCAUAAAUAACAAAACAACUUCAAUCAAAAAACACAAGAAUGAAUGUAUUUGUGAUAUGUUUACUCUCAACUGGUUGCCUAGAUGAACAAACCUUUCACCCUUGUAUUUUUCUAUAAGCCUCUGACUAGGGAACACCACUUUACCAGUUUAUUUUUCUGUAAACACUUUACCAGUCUUUUUUUCUGUGAAGUUUUCAAUAAACAUGGCUGAAAGGAAGAUAAAAUUCACGCAGCUCCAGCGAACGUACCACUUCAGGUUGAAGAUUUUGUCAGGAAGUGUAAACACUCAAGAGAUUUCUGCUGUCAGAGACCAUUUGUUGCUGCACCAUUUUUAUUUUUAUAAUUUUGGGGUUGGGCUAGACCCCUACCUGUACAUUAGAAUCGAAAAAAUUGUAAAGCUGUGAGGGGGACUAGGCCUUACCUCACUACAAGUAGGGGGAUGUUUCUAACAAGUGCCUAACCCCUAACAGGCAUAAUAAAACAAAAACAUACAAAAACCGAAAGCCACUUUACUUUCAACUGAUCACCUAGUUGAACAAAUCUCUCACCCUUCUAUAAUAAGCCCCUGACUAGGGAAAGCCACUUUACCAGUCUAUUUUUCUCUAGGUUUUCAAUAAACAUGGUUGUAGGGAAGAUGAAAUUCACGCAACUCAUCUUCAGGUUGAAGAUGAAGUUGUCGGGAAGGGGACUAGGCAAGUAGGAAGAUACUGUCAAGUUGAAAAUUAUAUGACGAAGUUUGCUUUGCCAGAGCAUGCCAACACUCGAGAGAUUUUCUGCUGUCGGAGACCAUUUGUUUUACAGCACCUGUGAAGAACUUCCAGGCUUCGAGAAGGAGCAGUGAAAACAAAAAUAACUUCCCAAAAUGUUAAAAGGCCUAUGGAAGGUCAUCUAACCACGCCAGAAUGUUUUCUUCAAACCCGAUGACUCCCGAUAGCCCUGGAUUUAAAGACAUACUACUAACAAGCAAGGUACGCCGAAGAAAUUUAAGGGAGGUGCCCAAGAGAUGCGUGAGCUUCCACACUCACUCCAAUGGUUUUGUCCGAGGGAAAAGACAAAUGGCAAUGGAAGAGGUGUCAAAACAAGGUGUUCUAGGUUAAAUCUAUGUAUGAGAUACUUUUGGGCAAGAUAGGGAGUACUCACCACACUUUGAGGAUUUCCCUUACAAAGUGACUUGGUAGGCGAGCAUAACUCUUAUGGGAACGCAUCCUAAUUAAUUUGAAUGCUCGAUGUAUGAGUGUAUGACCACUUAUAUAUCCUGUGCUCUUUGCAAUGAGAGUGUGGACUGUGGAAGUGUGGAGUCAAUUAAUCACCUCUUCUUCUUCUGCCCAAAAUCUCUUAUGGUUUGGAAUGGUGUUGUGGGCCACCUUGCGGGAAUGAAUGGUUGCCUGGCAAACUUGGGACCAAAGAACUUUCUCCUUCAGUGGCCAAGCUUGCUAGCCCAUUCUUCCCUUCACUGCUCUCUGGGUCAUAUGGAAUGUCAGAAAUGAGAUUAUAUAUGAAGGAGCAGUUCUGGACAUUGGACAGGUGAUAAAAAGGAUGAAAAUGUACAUUGUGGGCUUGGCUCAACAUUUUAAGCAAGGCUGCAGAUGUGUAGAAGGGGCAUCAGUUUUGUUUGACAGGUGAUCAAACCGCAGAGCUUGUAUAGGAGCUGUAGAAGUCUAACACUAAUGGGAAGAACUCUGAGGAACACUGGUGUGUAUGUUGGGAUAGUGGUGUGCGGAUUCUGAAACACUGCAGUAGCUGGUGCCAGUCUCCCUUUGACAGUCUUGAUGUUGCUGAGCAUCCUGGGAGUACAAUCUGAGUAUCUGACCGCACCCUUAUUAUGGCAGCUAACGCAACUGCCUAGCGUGCCGCAAAGUAGCAAAGAUCUUGCUCAGUCCAAUUAAGACGCAAGUGGUUCACCGAAUCAGAGAAAACAAAACUAAUAAGUUUUUCACUGGAAAAUUGGUCUUAUAUUAUACUAAAAGUGAGAUCCCUGUUUUGCAAGAAUUGAAUAUCCCCACAAAUUAAAAUUGAAACCUGAAUUGUUUCUCAUAGAAGAUAAGUGCAAGUUCCAUGACAAAGUCAACAAAUUCCAUUAUUAUAUUAUUGCAUUUGGAUAUUUCAUUAGUUUUUCAAGAUAAGUGCAAGAUAAGUGUUCCAUGCCAAUUUCCACCGACUCAACCACCAACCAAGAGUAUGUUUCAUUAGUUUUUCACCACCGGCCAAAGUAAUCUCAUUCGAGUUCUCCAUUUGUGUUGUGACCAAUGAACCUCCAUUUGACCUACCGAGCAAUAGUUUCCCACAUCGGCCAACUUGGAUACUUCGUGGGAAAUUGACCAACCACCUACGCCGUUCUCAUUUGCUUUUUUACAAGUUACAACACUGAGAUCUGAUCAAGAAGAAUUAGCAGCAAACCCGUUCAAAUCCAUCAACUAUUCUGUCUUUUUCUUCAACUAUUACUGUGUUUUCUUUGUUAACAGAAGCUAAUUAAUGGCUGAAGCCCUUGUUUCUGCUGUCUUGGAGCACUUGGUGACACCUGCUAUCGAACAAGUUACAGAAGAGGUGAGGUUGGUGCGGAGUGUUGGAAAUGAAAUCAAAAGUCUUGUUGAAGAACUAGGCAAAAUUAAGUCCCUACUUGAAGAUGCAGAAAAGAAACAAAUACAUGACAAGUCAGUGAAAGCUUGGUUUGAAGAGCUGAAGGGCAUAGCAUACGAUGUUGAUGAUGUAUUGGACGAGUGGCACACUAGGAUUCUCCAGCAAAUUGCUACAAGUGAUGAUAGCUCCACUAGCAAGCAGAACAAGAACAAGGUGUUUGCUUGCUUUUCUUCUCCAUUCAAUCGCUCUCAGCCUGUUCUUGUACGCUAUCGCAUUGCUCAUAGGAUUAAAGAUUUGCGACAACAACUAGAUACAAAUGCUAAGAUCAUCCCUGGGUUGCACCUUAUUACAAGUCAAGCUAGUCACCACCAUGAAGACCUUCCUUCUCGACAAAUCAUUAGCUCUUUUGUUGAUCCAUCGAAGAUACACGGUCGUGAUCAUGAAAAAGCAGAAAUAAUGAGUUGGCUUCGGAGUCAACAAGAGGCUAAAGUUUCUGUCAUGUCAGUUGUUGGAACGCCUGGAUUUGGCAAAACAGCUCUUGUUCAACUCGUGUUCCACCAAGAGAAUGAUAAGAACACCUUUGAUCCGACGAUGUGGGUUUGUGUUUCUGAACCUGUUGAUCUACAAAGGCUCGCGAAAGAAAUCAUUGAAUCAGCUACUGGAAAAAAGCCUGAAGUUGAUGGUUUGGAGGCUUUGCUUCGUCAUUUGAGCGACACUGUAAAAGGAAAGAUGUUUAUGCUUAUUUUAGAUGAUGUUUGGCCGAAAUAUUUAGAGCAUUGGUGGGAACAAUUGAAAAGUUCUCUAGACAGUGGCGCCCAAGGCAGCAAAAUCAUCAUUACAACCCGCUAUCAGGAAGUUGCCGAUGUCGUUGAGUCAAGUUGUAUAAUUCUUCUUCGGGAAUUGCAGGAUGAAGAUUGUUGGUCACUAUUUAAACGAAUAGCUUUUUCGAGAAGAUCAGCAAAUAACCAUCACAAUUUGGAAGGAAUUGGAGAGGAAAUUGUCAAGAAAUGCAAAGGAGUUCCCCUAGCUAUCAAGACAAUUGCCGGUCUUAUGCAAUACAAACAAACAAUACAUGAAUGGGAGAGUGUACGAGACAGUGAUGUUUGGGAACAUGUUGGUAAAAACUUGUCACCCAGUCUUCUUCUCAGUUAUCAUGCGUUUCCAUCGCAUUUAAAGCAAUGUUUUAUGUAUUGUGCUGUCAUUCCAAAAGACACGGUGAUGGAAAAAGAUAUGUUGGUCAAGCUAUGGAUGGCACAAGGUUUCCUUGGCUCUAAUGGAGGUAAAGAGCUAGAGACUGUAGGUGGAGCGUAUUUUGAUGAGUUGGCAAUGCGGUCGUUUUUCCAAGAUUUUGAGAAAGAUGGUGAUGGAAGUGUUGUUAGUUGCAAGAUACAUGACCUUGUGCACGAUUUUGCACAAUCCCUCACGAUAACAGAAUGUUGUGUUAUUCAGAUGAACGACAGAGAAACAUGUAAUAACAAAGUCCGUCAUUUAACCGCUCCUGAUACAAAAAAUCCCAACAUCUCAAACGUAAAGAAGAAUUUGCGGACACUGAUAACACAUUCUUUGUCAGAUUCAACUGACAUUUCCAAGUUGUCCCGUCAAUUGACAUGUCUUAGGACAUUGGAUUUGAGUAAUUCCAAGCUUGAAGAGCUGCCAAAGGAGGUGGAAUUGUUAUUACACUUACGUUAUCUUGACCUGUCGAGGACAGAGUUGACAGAGUUGCCGGAAUCAUUGUGUAAGUUAUACAACUUGCAGACCUUGAAACUUAACUGGUGUCGUGAUCUUUGUAAAUUGCCCAACGGAAUUGGAGAACUAUCAAUCUGAGGCAUUUUGAAAUGGAAAUGACUAGUGAGCUGAAGUACUUUCCCAAGGGAAUUGAAAGAUUGAAUUGCCUUCGAACCUUGAGUAAGUUUUGUUGUGAGUGGUGUAACUGGAGGGUGCAGAAUUGGAGAACUAGGCAACCUUAUUCAUCUUGGAGGAGAUUUAGAAAUAAGAGGGUUAUGGAAAGUAGAAAACAUGAUCGAAGCUAAACAGGCAGGAUUGCAGGAAAAGAAGAACCUUGGUUCGUUGUUGUUGGACUUCGAAGGAGGAGGAGGAGGAGGAGGAGAAUUUAGAAGAAAAAUGGAAGGUGUACUGAAAGGUCUCCAACCACACAACAACUUGAAAAAAUUGUACAUAUAUAAGUACCCAGGGUUGACGAUCAACCUUGAUUGGUUGUUGUGUCUAGAUCUCCAUCAUCUCACUUUUUCUUAUUUCCCUAAUAUAACAUCAUUACCAGCUGAUCUAGGUAAAUUACAGUUCCUUAAAUCCCUAACUGUUGAAUAUGUAGAUGAGAUGAAAGAUGUGAGUUCCCAACUUUUGAAAAUUUCUGAUAAUGGAGACUCGUCAUUGGAGUUAUUUCCAAAGUUGCAGUUUCUAAAAUUGAGUAAUUUGCCAAAGUGGGAGGAGGAGGAGGAAGGGAAUGAGAAAAUUGAUAAAACUCACACUCCUACUACUUCCAUCAUGCCCUGUCUCCUUGAGUUGGAGAUUCAUCAUUGUCGAAAGUUGAAGGUGUUGCCGCACUACAUGAUGUUUUCUCAAACACUCAAGGAAUUGAGUGUAACCGACUGUCCAGGGCUAAGUGGGAUGCAACCUUGCCUUCCUCCGCUGGUUGAGGAACUGACUUUAUGGGGCGAUGUAGGUGUUCUUUCAAGUUCAUUAAUGCCCAUCAUCCAUACCAACAACAACAAUAGCUAUCCUAAUCUCAAGUCUGUUACCAUUGGUAGCUCAAAAAUUUCCUCACUCCCCGAAGGAUUAAACCAAUUCACAUCACUUCAAAAAUUGCAUCUUUCUUACUGCCGAUUGCUCGAUUUCAAGCCCGAGGAAGAGUGCAGUCACUUGCACACUCUUCCCACAUUAAUCAUCACCAUCGACAGUUGCCCUCUUCUGAAAGAGCGUAGCAGCAGAGACGACUGGGCCAACUUAUCCAACUUUCCCAAAAUCAUCUUUGAGUGAGAUUAUUACUAAUGAAGGAUCGGAGCACUCAAAUAAACCAAGGUAACAACCCUCUCAACAUAUAUUUUUCUUCUUUUUUUUUUUUGCAUGUUGUAUUAAGUUUAGUCCAACUACACAUAAUUCACUUUCAAUUUGCAAGGAAGAUUCAUUUCACCAAUAUUAUCUUUAUCUCAAGUCCUGAUGUGCUCUACAUUAAUAAUUUGAUUUGCAUUAUUGCAUAUGCAACACUCAGUCUUUUCUCCAAUAUACCAUAAUUAAUCACAUCAUGUUGUUUAUUUGAUUGUACUUUCAUUUGAUCAAUUAUUUGAUUGUGGAACUGGGAUGUUUUUUCUAAAGAGCGCAAACGUAAAUUAUUUUAGGGAUAUUAGGCAUUUGUACUGCCGCUUAAUCUUCUCUCUUUGUUAGUAUGUUACUAAUUACUAUCACCCUGUGUCGUUUGUACACAAUGAGGUGAUUUUACCUAGUUGGUAAUAUAAACCUCACAUUUCUUGUUUCUUCCCUUGAUGAUCUGACCGAAAGUUAUAAAUUGUGACACCAUCAUGCUUUUUGGUGAAUAUGUUCUUCAAAAGACAUAAUCGAAUAACAUUUGGAUCGAUUACCGAUAGUUAAAGUAAGCCUUCAUAUAGUCAUAUCGGUUCUAAUAUUUGUGCUUAUCAUGUUCUGUCUGAUUUUUUUUUACAGAAUGGAACCAGAAAUCAUUGUAAUCAUUGUUUUUGUUUGUCUUUCAAAUGCUUCAUUUCAACAACUGCAGACAUAGAUUCACUCUGUGAGUUGGACAAGCUUUUAGUGCUCGACUCCUGGUUCCUAGCUUUCCAGAGUGACCAAACUAAUAACACGAGGAUACCCGUUUUUUGGCAUGCUGCAAUUAUCUAGUGCAUAGUUGAAUGUUUAAUUGAGUUGUUGUAAUUUCCCUGAUCCAUCAUUGGAGUAAAAAUACUUAUCAUGCUCAUUUUGUGAAAAUACAUCUUUCUUAUGGUAAAUUAGGGGUUUGGCAGACUCCGACCUGCAUUACUCAUUAAGUGUUUCCUCGAAGCCAAUUGUAAUAUUUGCGAGUAAAGUAUUAUGCUGAAGGAGAUUGAUGAUGGAAUGUCAGAAAUGAGAUUAUAUAUGAAGGAGCAGUUCUGGACAUUGGACAGGUGAUAAAAAGGAUGAAAAUGUACAUUGUGGGCUUGGCUCAACAUUUUAAGCAAGGCUGCAGAUGUGAAGAAGGGCAUCAGUUUUGUUUGACAGGUGGUCAAACCGCAGAGCUUGUAUAGGAGCUGUAGAAGUCUAACACUAAUGGGAAGAACUCUGAGGAACACUGGUGUGUAUGUUGGGAUAGUGGUGUGCGGAUUCUGAAACACUGCAGUAGCUGGUGCCAGUCUCCCUUUGACAGUCUUGAUGUUGCUGAGCAUCCCUGACUAGAGAUGUUCUGGUUGCGAUGUGCUGUAGACUGUAUUAUGUAGUACUGCUCUCUGUAUUGUUUAGUGGGCUAUUUUUCAUUCCUUUAUCUCUGUGGAUCCACCUGGAUUCACUGUUUACCAAAAAUAUCCAAAAUAACAUAGGGCCGUUACCGUGGUCCAUUUUACAGUUCUAAUUUCGAAACAAAGAACAUGCGAGAAGCUUCCAUAUUUCUCUAGCACACCACUAAAUCAGUUUUACUACAGUUCUAAUUUCAGAAUGAAGAACAUACUAGAAACUUCCAUCUACAAACCAAUCAACCCAAUCAAUUUCCAGAAACUUCUACAUUCUUCAAUCUCCAUCUAUAUAAACAACCCCUUAAUUCCUCUUACCAUCACAAAAAAAAAAAAAAAAAAAAAUUCAAAAUCAAGCAAUCAAGAUCUCAAGAAGUUUUCGAUAUAAUCUCAAAACAAUCAGAUAAGGAAGAAGAUGGAUGUUAGGAUGAUGGGUUAUGGAAAUCCACUGAUUUCAACACUUCAGCAAAUUCUCAAUUCAUCAGAAGAAGCAGAGAAGUCCUCCAAUGCACCAACACGUACUUAUGUUCAAGAUGCAAAAGCAAUGGCAGCAACACCAGCAGAUGUCAAAGAAUAUCCAAAUUCAUAUCACUUUGUUGUCGAUAUGCCUGGUUUGAAGUCUGGUGAUAUUAAGGUUCAAGUUGAAGAAGACAAUGUGCUUGUUGUAAGUGGAGAGAGGAAAAGGGAUGAAGAGAAAGAAGGUGUUAAGUAUCUGAGGAUGGAAAGGAGGGUUGGGAAGUUUAUGAGGAAGUUUGCUUUGCCAGAGAAUGCUGAUAUUGAAAAGAUUUCUGCUGUUUGUCAAGAUGGUGUUCUUCAUGUCACUGUCGAGAAAAUUCCUCCUCCUGAGCCUAAAAAGCCUAGGACUAUUGAAGUUAAAAUUGCUUAGAUUUAGAGGAGUGGGUGUUAGAGAUUGGAAUUGAUGUGUGGGUGAUUUGGGUUGUUGGGUGUGUUUUUCCCCUUUGUUUUAUGCUUUUUAUUUUGAACUUUGCUUGGGUUUUGGCUAGUGACCUUGAGUAUCAUGUUAAUGUAAUAAAGUCUUUAAUGAAUUUUCUUUUGUUUCAAGUCAAUUGUAUUUGCAUUUCUGCUACUUCUUUGAUCAUAUUUCCUGCAACACAUCUUCCAAGAUAUACAUACUAUAUCUCGAUUACUCGUGAUCGAUAUAAAAUGGAAAUCUUGAUCCUAAACAUCAAUAACUAUGACAUAAAUAAAACCCAAAUAAAAUGUGCAGAGUACAAGAAGGUUAAAGCAUUUUUAAACUAUGGUUGAUAUUUGUGGACUGGGAAAGUAAAACUGUGAGCUUGCUUUCAACUGGUCUGUAACGCAAGACUGAGAAAAACUGUUGUCUUGGCUGUAAGGAAAAUGGGACUAACACAACUCCAGCAGAUGUAGCUCUUCAGGUUGAAGAUGAAGUUUGCAGAAAGAGGAAGGCACUGUCAAGUUGAGAAUUUUAGUGCACCUGAGCCUAAGAAGCCAGGAGCAAUUAAAACAAAAAAUAAUGUGUGAUGCAUUAGUCUAUAUGUUAUCCCUUUCCUUUUGCUUGUUUCUUAUUCAAUUGUCUCAGUCUGGGCAAAUCAAAGGAUUAACCCCUUCCCACCUUCUCAAGGAAUAAAAGGAAAAAAUUAAGAAGAUAUCAGCAGGCUUUGGCUUAAGAUAACACAGAAAUAUUUGCAAGUUGUAACAGAGGCAAGAAACACAGGUUAAUGAACGGGUUUUUUUUCCUUCUGUAGAAGUGUACAUUUGGAUAAAAAAUAAACAAGCAGUCGAUGACAUGAACAAAACUUAAAGCUACAACUACUCUGCACCGGCACCUAUGCUUUAAAACCAAAUUGAAUGUACAAAAGAACAGUGCAAGCUGAAGUGUACCUUUUUAUUGCAUGAAUGGCAGAAUGGACAAUAUUGCCUGUAUUUUUAACUACAAAGGAGCCCCAAACAUAAGCAAUUCACCGGAAAAUGUUGUCUAAAAUAAAGUAGGUCAGCCCGGCUUUUUCAAGGAAUAACAUCAUAUCACAUGCAGCAAGGGUUCCUGUGCUGUGCAAGGUUUCUGUUCACAAGGUGUGAUAUACAUGGGCGUUUCAGCGCAACCUAAUAGUUUCAUUGGGAAAAAUGACAUUAGGAUUCCGUAUAUGUGGAUUCAACGCAGCCAACUCUUUCCAUUUUGCUCCUGUACCAUGAACACGAGAUGAGAUGCUCCACAAGGUCUCCCCAGGCUGCACAGUUGUUGUAGUUGUCGUCUGGGAUGAUGAUUUUGCAACCGUCUUUGACUUCAUUAAUGGGUGCUUGUUGCUUUUACCCAUACCAGUGGCAAGCAACCAGCGGGACCCAGACUGUUGCUGCUUCGCAGUACCCCAAAGCUUCUUUUUUCCAGGAUCUGACUUCAGACCAGCAACAUGGACUUCAGUGAUUUUGAAUUGAGCAAUGCUUUCUUCUUCUUUCUUUUCUUCAACAAUAUCGGUUUUUUUCUCAUCCGCUGUACUGAGUUCAGUUUCAUCAUCUUCUUCAUCCUUCCUUCUUUCGAAAACACUGCUGUAUAUUUUUGGUUUUGGAGGAACGAAAACCCUCUCUACCUGAAUCAAAGCAAGCAUUGGAGUCCCAACUGGCUCAUAAUUACGAAGGGGAUUUCUAAGUUGCACCAUUAAUGCUACUGUAAAGUUGUUCCCCAGCAAACCACACCUUCUAGAGCCUUUCCCCUUCCUUUUCCCUCCCUCCCACCCUCCACUUAUCAAAUCCGUACAGGUAGCAUGGUGAGCUGCAAGGAUCUUGGAAGUCCGCUCACUGUUUUGAUCUUCUUCAUCGACUAUUCCAGCAUCUAGUCUCAUCCACUCAUCCAGAGUUAUUGACAGUCCCAUUAACCCAUCAACAUCAUCCCCAUUAUCUUUGAUAUCUAACAGCUGCAAUCCUCCAGCUCCCUCCAUACCAAGCGACCCACUCAUGUUGGUUCUCUUUCCUUGAAGUGCUGAUACCUCUCCAAAUGCUUGGGGGCUAAUGUUUGAAGGUGCAUCUUCGUCAGACAUGCCAGAUUGUAUUCUCAAACCUUCCAUGGACAGGGCUUCAAUCUUAUCCAUUGCCAAUGGGGCAAGGUCUUCCACAGAUACAUAUUCGGAAUCAGAAUCCCUACUUAAUGAACUUGAAUUCAGGUGAGCAGACCUAUUCCUGGACGAACUGCCUUUUCUUCUUUUUCUGUCACUGCGUGAAUUCCCAACCUCUGCUUCAUGCUGCAUUAAGACCUCCCUGUUCAUGUAAACGAAAUGAUUUAACAAAAACUUUGUGAAAUUUGAAUAAUAUUUCACAGCGAAAAAGCUACAAUUAUGCAAUAAUUAAGAUAGGGUAGCCUAAGUGUAACCUACAAACCUCUCAGGUGCCUCGAGACUAGGCGUAGCUUCCCAUGCUACCUGCUGCAUCGUCUUCCCAGUAAUAUCUUCUAGUGGCAUUAACUUGUUAGCUUGCAUCGAGAGCUUUUCAAUUCCAACUGACGCCAAACCCUGUAAUAUCUCCAUGAUACCAGAUCCCAUUUCUGCAGGAACCACAACCGGACUAGAAACCUGCAUGACCAAGUUCUCACUGUGUUUGGCAUUUCUGAAAAGUGAGGGACUCAUGGAUCGCAAGAAUCCUCCAUCUUUUGUCUGAACAAAGGGACCCAAACCUUCAGCAAGAGGAGGCAAUACAAGUGGCUUUUCAGGAGGAAGAUGAAUUGGACUCCCAAAUCCACCUGCACCAUUAGGAGGAGAAUUCUGAAAGGCCUUCUCAUUCAAACCCCACUCCCGCAUUAAAGCUUCUGUCUCCAAGUCUUCAAGCAUUUUAGCUCUUGCUUUGCUACUCAUCAUCUCCGCUGCUCUCUGGUGUUCUGCUUCAGCAACGUGAACAAUUGAUGAAAGCUCAAAAUCUUCAAAAUGUUCUGACCCAGAGCCAUUCGGAACAUUAUAACCAUAUUCAACCAUCUCCUCCCUGCCAAGAUCAAAAUCAAAUAUACUGCCACCAUAUAGCGAUUCCUUUUCAAACUGCCUCAACAGACGCUCUCUUGGAGAUUCAGGGUCACUAUCUGAACUCAAGCCAAAUGGGCUAUGCUCUAUCCCAAGCAUAUUUAAGAACUCGCUUGCAACAGAUUCAGAAGCAGCAUCCAAGCUAAGGGACUUCCCCACCUUAGCUUUAUAAUCUGAUUUAAACUCCAUGUAACUUCCUUGCCCGCUUAACUCAGCCUUAGCUUGUGGAGAAUCAAAUCCAGCUGAAUCAAAAUACGGAAAUUCUUGGAACGCAGUAUCUAAUUCCUUUAUGGCAGAUUCAUCAGUAAAAAGUGUAUUUUCUUUCCAAUUGUCUUCGCUUGUAUAAACUUCUUCUGCGCAGUUAGCAUAGCAUUCAUCCAUAGAAUCUGGCUUCAUGUUCACUUGGAGAGGAACCAUAUCAAACCCGCUAUUUUUAUCAAGCUCUGCACUGAGGACCACACUAUCAUCACCAACGUUUGCGGCUUCUUCUUCAACAUUCACCAUUUCCUUUGUGGAUAUUUCUACCCCUUGUUCAAUCACAGUGAAGUCUGUUUCUUCCCCCUCGUUGACUAAGUUAUCUUUCUCAGGCUCAGACCAUGAAAUUGACUCUGGUUCAAGAGGCUCAACAUGUUCAGACAAAUCCUCAGUAUCAGGCUUUGGUUUGACAGGCUCGACAUGCUCAGAGCAUACCUCAAAUUCAGAUGUUGGUUUGAGAGGCUCGACAAGCUCAGAAAAUACCUCAAAUUCAGAUGUUGGUUUGAGAGACUCGACAUGCUCAGAGCAUACCUCAAAUUCAGAUGUUGGUUUGAGAGGCUCUACACAUUCAGAUAACGCCUCAAACUCGGCCUUUGGUUUGAGAGGCUCGGUAUAAUCAGAAAAUACCUCAACCUCAGAUUUUGGUUUGAGAGGCUCAACAGGUUCUGAAAAGGCCUCAAACUCAGGCUUAGAAUAAGUGAAACUGUCCAUUUCUCCUUCAUCAAGCUUUUGGUAUAGUACUGACACUGAACUGGAAAGUUCUGACUUUGCAGUCGGUAAGACUUCAUGAAGUAUCUUACAGUCUACAGACCGAGAGUUUGAACGAGAGCGUUGAUUAGAAUAUCCGUGACUAGGAUAUUCCGAAAGACUUUCAGUACGUCGAAUAGGCUUUCGAGUACUGCCUUUAUCAAAAGUAGUUACGGAUUUAGCUGUGCUUAGUCUAUUCAGCUUCGAGCUAGUAGGUUCAGGAGCGCUCCUGUUACUAGGUGACUCAACUGCAUCAUCACCAAUAAUUGCGAACCCAAAACUAACAUUCAUGGUAGCACCUUUAGCUUUUCCCGAGAGAUUAAAACUUGUAGUCCAUUUCCCCGACUUUUUCUCCUCCAGCAACUCCUCCAACGUAAGAGGAAGCAACCUUGUCAGAUCAACCCGAUGUUUCCCUAAAUCAAGAUCAGGAGCACUAACCACCAAAGCAUACAACAAACAAUGUUUUGCUUCAUACUUUGCCGAAUGAUGAGGCCCAUUUCCACUACCAUAUACAGAACAUUUAUAAGUCAAAGUUUCUUCAAAAUCAGCCAUUCCUUCAAAAACCUUUGUCGGUCGAGUCUGCAACAUACCAUCUCUUCUCUUCCAGUGUACACAUAGACUGACAUCACUGAAAUUCGGCGGAAGACCCUCAAUGGAAUGAACUUGAAGAGAGAAACAACAAUUAAACCUACGAUUUCGUAUAUGUGAUAAAGCUUUCAAAGGUUUCCAAUUCCAUAUCGACGACUUCUUAUCCUUUUGUGAUGAUUCUUCUUUAACUAUCUUAGAUUUUGAUUUUGAUUCAGGAUAAGUUUUGCCAACAGAUUUAGAUCGAAGAUCAGAAGAAGAAACCAAUCGACUUGAUGGAUUUCUAUUCAAAUAUAAAGCUUGGCCUAAUGCUUCAAUUUCUUGUAAUAAUCUUCCAUCCCCAUAAUUUUUCUUCCUAGAAUCAGCCUUGGAAAGCAUUUCUUCAACAAAACAAUACAAAAUCAAAAUCAAAAUCAAUACCAAAUUACAAAUUAAAAUUAAAUAAUUAAAUUUUUAAAUUUAUUUUAUUCAAAAUUAGUUCAAACAAGUCACUAUUUCUUAUCUUAAUCUUCAAACAAUGAAAAUAAAAACAAAAAAAAAAUCAAAAUCCCUAAAUCCCAAAUCAAUUUAAACAUAAACAAGGAGAAGAAAGAAAACAGUUUGAAUGAUCUUACCAGUGUUUGGAAUCUGGGCAAGUAGAGAGAAUUUAGAAGAAAAACCCUAAAUUUAAGGUUGGAUUCUCAUAGUUAUCGUCGCCUGAUGUUGAGGAAAUCUUAGAGAGAGAGAAACCCUAAUAAGUUUUAGAGAGAAAUGAUGAAGACGGCGUAUCGGGCGAUUUGCUUAUCUGUGUUGAACUGUAAACUGUUUUUGUUGGUGUUUUAUGCCGAUGAAGAAGGAGAGAGAGAGAGAGAGAGCGGGACCUUGUUUUGUACGAAUUAAAAAAAAAAUGGGUUUUGGUGAAAGAGAAAAAUAAAUGUUUUGUCUUUGGUUUUGGUUUUGAUUUGAAUUGACUAGUGAGUUGGCUUUGGAUAGAUUAUGGUGGAGCGUGUUGUAUUAUUAUUGGUAUAAACUAAUAAUAAUUUGGUAAUUAGUUGUCUUAUUUUCCUCAUUUGGGGAAGAUUAUUAUUGUAAGAUGCUUUGCUUGUAAUAGUGAUGGUAUCAGGAAACUUUAGUCAAAAUCAAAUUCUGUACUUUAUAGUUUAUCCCCAAAAAAUGGCAAACAUAUGAGCCUAUGAGGCAUAAACCAUGACCAGAACAUUUGUGCAUGUUUUUGUUAUUUACACAAACAUGUGGUGUUCUUUCAACUUUGUAGUGAAACAUUCACGCUAAUAAAGAUUUGAAGAUCAAUAAACUUCUAUUAUGAGAUCACGGAUUAGGCGAAAGUUAGGUAUGUUUAAUUCGUCGAAAAGUCACUCUCUCAAAAGAUUUUAGAGUCUAAACUUGUUAUUUUGCUACAAAUAAAACCAAGAAAUGGAACAAAAGUAUCUUGUUUGUGAAUAUCAAGUGUUUUGCUUUCAUAAUUCAUGAAAAUCAUCCCCAAGUGUUAGAAGUUUCUAUCAAGUUAACCAUCAAUCACCUACUAAGAGCAUUCCCAAUGGUAAAACACUUUUAGUGGUGCCACAUAGGAUGGUUUUAAGGAAUUUUGGGGUUUUCAAUGGUUUUAGCGAAAAAAGGGUUUUAGUGUUUCCAAUGGUGGAUUAUCCAUACCGCAAUCUAUGUGGGGUAUGGAUCCAUACCGCACUCAUUGUGGGGUAUGGAUCCAUACCGCACUCAUUGCGGCGGAUGGAUCUUCUUUUAGAUGAGUCCAUACCGCACUAAUUGUGGGGUAUGGAUCCAUACCGCACUUAUUGUGGGGUAUGAAUCCAUACCGCACUAAUUGUGGCGGAUGGAUUCCUACGUGCCACUUUUAACUCCUUGGCAAAUUUGUCAAGGAGUUAAAAGUGUUUUGCUUGAAAAGUGUGUUAAAAGCUACCAUUGGCAAGUGUUUUCACUAAAAGUUAACUAAAUGUGUGCUAAAACCUACCAUUGGGAAUGCUUUAAAACUUUGACAAAAUUAAAAAGGGAUAUUCCCUCUCUUGAGUCUUGAGAUUCAUGUGGUUAGAAUUUAAAAUUUCUUGUACAAGUUUUUGAAUUUGAAAUGAAUGUGGGUCCUUUUAUAUAUGUCUUUCGACUUGCAUCUUUCAACCAACAAGAUAAGCUACUGAGUCGCAUCACUCCAAACUCCAAACUCUAAUAUCCAUAUUCUUGUCCACCACUGACCGAUUCAAUCAAGCAGUAUUCAAAAAUAAAAAUGAGUCGCCAACUCGUCCCACUGUUGUCAAAAAUGUUUACCACAUUAAUCUUUUUUUAUUAUUUAUUAAACUAUAUGAGCUUUAUAUAUAUGUAUCUUGUGGUUCUUGCAUAAUGAAAAUUUAAUCAGAUAGCUAGACUUCUAGAAUUGAUAUUUCGUGAAUAUCAUGGUUUUGAAAUAUUAAAAAUGAACGUAAAUAUAAAAUAUAGUGAUCAUUUGGGAUCAACAUCCACCUUAAUUAGUGGUUUCGUGCUUUUUAAAUUUUAUAUUGUAUGAACAUUGAUCAUUUGAUGUCAAAUGACGACACCCCUUAAAAAUAAUAUUUGCCACAGAAAUGAAUUGAUGUGUGUCAUGAAGUCAGCAAGGAUAAUCUUAUAUUCUCUAGCAUCCUUCUUAAUUAUUUGGAUUAUAUAUGGUUGAUCAUCGUAAUCUUAAAAUAAUUAUAUUAAAAGUUAUUUUGCUCAUUUGAUGAGAUUGAUCUCAUGGCAAUAUAUGUCUUCUGAUUAACAACUAACCAUAUGAUAGUGAGAUGUAACCACUAUUCCAUUUAAAAACUCUUCAAGCUGUGCUUCAUCAGUGGGUUUGGCUAAAUUUGACCUCAAUAAUUAGUUUAAGGACAGGGGAAAAAAAGAGUUGAUUAAGGACCUAAACUUGACAGACGUCACUUUAGGUUCCACUGCACCAAUGUGCUGGGCUAAAGCUAUGUGAAAGGUCCAUUACACUCAUUUCAAGCCAUCAGCUCACUACUCAUGCACUUUCUUAUUUCAGCCCAAGUUCACAUCCUCGCAUUAAAAAGUCCUCUCCAGUCUCCAAUGUUACACGUACCAAUUCCAGUAGCAGGAAACGUUCAACAUCAAUAGUUCAUAAUUCAUAUGACAGACCACCAUAACACCAUUCAAUUAUUCAAAUAUCAACCUUAUCUUAAAAGUUCUUGAGCUAAUAAUUGAGAAAACCAGUUCUACUGCUCUAGAUUCAGUGCAGGUAUCAAUUCAUUAUUUCAUUGGCUUCUGUUUCCAUAUCUCAUAGAGUUUGAACCAAUUUAGAGAGAUGGUAGGACCACAACGACCGCAAUUCGUGCUCUUUGGAUCAUCCAUUGUUCAGUUAAGCUAUAGCAAUAGUGGAUGGGGAGCUCAUCUCUCUGACAUCUAUAGUCGUAAAGCAGACAUUAUUUUACGAGGGUACAAUGGUUGGAAUUCAAGGCGUGGACUUAAAGUUGUCGAUCAAGUUUUUCCAAAGGAUGCAGCUGUACAACCUGAUUUGGUUAUAGUUUACUUUGGAGGUAAUGACUCCAUGGCACCUCAUCCAUCAGGCUUAAGUCCUCAUGUACCACUUGUGGAAUACAUUGAGAACAUGAGAAAGAUUGCACUUCAUCUCAAGAGCUUGUCAGAGAAAACGCACAUUAUUUUUCUUACUUGUCCUCCUGUCAAUGAAGAACAAUUCGGUAUAUCAUUUGGCACUGAGCUCGUACGCUCAAAUGAAGAUUGUCAGAGAUAUUCAAAUGCUUGUUUAGAGCUCUGCAGAGAUAUAGGAGUAAAGGUAGUUGAUCUUUGUAGUGCAAUCAAGAGAAGAGAUAACUGGGAAAAGUUGUGUUUUAUUGAUGGUGUCCAUUUCUCUGCCGAGGGUAGCUUUAUAGUAGUGGAGGAGAUACUGAAGGUUUUGAAGGAAGCGGAGUGGGAACCAAGUAUGUAUUGGAAGUCACUGCCAACUGAAUUUGCAGAUCUUGUUGCAGAUGACAGAAUACACACGAUAAACGUCGAUGAAUGGACCCUUUAUAGGAAACAUUGGCAUUAAGUUGUAAAUGCACAAAUGGAAGUUUGUCUUCUGAUUAAUUGUAACCACUGAAUAAGUUGAUCUAAAACUUGUUAACUUAUUUUACUGUCUUUUUUUUUUUUUUGAACAAAAGAUAAUUUUCCAUUCAUUCUAGCACAAAGCUGUGUACAAACAGGACUUUCCGGCAGCUGUACAUAUCCUUACAGUUUUAUUCAAAGCUACCUAACUACCUAAGUUACAAAAAUAUACAAGAGACUCAAAAACCUCUGGGAAAGGAGAUGGAGAUGAUGUAGUAACAAUUACUUGUAACUUGUACAUAAGACCACCACCAUGAGGUUUUGUCUUUCAUAUGUCAUUUGUACAACUAUGUGCAAUAUCAUUUAAAGCCAAUGAAAUAUUCUCACUAUGUUUCUUUCAACUCCAAUUCACAUGGCAUUUGUUUGUGAUAAGAAUGACGUCAAAUUAGACAACCGAUUCAUCUUCCAACUUAGUUGGUGCUUUGGUAUGAUAUCUUUAAAGUGAUUUUUAUGUCUAGAUGCAUCCAAAGAUGACCCAUUGACAUCAUUCAAAAUCAAAUCAAUUCCACAUAUAAUUGUAAUAAUCAAGUCAUUGAGAUGUCAAACAAAUUGAUUGAUCCAACAGUAGAAUAAUCCCAUUUUCGAAAAUUUGAGUAACCAAAUUUUUGUUUAACUCAAAAUUUGAAAUAUUAUCACUGAUGAAUAAAAACACAUUUUUUAUUGUUUAUUACAAUCCAACCGUUGGAUGAUCACGAAAUUUGAACACAUUAUUGCAUAAGACGUUAUGCAACUACUGUAAAAUUUUUAACUCGAUUGGAGAACUUCAUCCGACCAUGAACUUCAGACUGUGCAAUACUGAAAUUCAAUCUAAAUUUCUAGUACUUCUUCCUUAUAUGUUUUUACUUCUUCUCUCUAACCUUGUUUGUCUUACCAUUAAUGGAAUAACUAACAUCUUGCACUCAGAUGAGAGAAUUCAGAGAAACCAGAAAAUCUUGUAUACUUGGGAAGACCCAAACCACACGUCCAUACUUCUUAAAAAUACGUGUUUAUUCAAACAAAUGAUGCAUCUCUUCAAAGAUGUUUGUCGCACCUUUUCAUAAUAUACAUCUGUUCAUAGUUGAAUAGAAUGCCCUAAUGGCUAUUGUAUGCUUGAACCAUCAAAGGACACCAAAGACAUCAUUUCAGGUGUAGUACGUGUUCAUUCAACCAUUCAAUUAACACAUAAAAGAGGUGUGAGACCUUUUGUGCAAAUUAGUGUGCUUCUAAAGCCACUUCCAAGUUCCAAAUAGAUGAUUAGCCCAAUAGUUGUCUUUGAAAAGUUUCCAAUAAUUGCUAUCAGAAAUGAAGGCAUUGUUUGACUCAAAACUUAAAACAACAAAAUAUUAUUUAAUUAAAUCAGUCCAUGUCAAACAUGUUGAACGGUUUACGUGCAAGAAAUAUAUGAAAGUUAAUGAUCAAGAAAUAUAUACAUCAAACUUGAGAAUUAUAUUACUUCGUCUUCUUUGUCAUCAUCGUGGACAUGUACCCAUACUAUCUGAUUAACAUAGAUAAUCUGUUGUAUAACAUCUUCAUCACUUCUUAUUAAAGAAAUUAUUGUUAAAUCAAUUAAACAAACUAAAACAUAAAACCACAUAGAUUCUAUUGAGAUUCUGUUGAUUACAGUAUAUAAAACAACUGCUAGCUCAGUUGGUUUGUUAUCCCUCUCAAACACUCCCACGAGUGAGAGGCUGUGAGUUCAAUUCCCAUCAACAGUGUUUGGGGGAAUUUCUCAUGUAAUUCUUAGGUGGGUCAGCCUUCGGGCCUGGUUCGAGAUUAGGAGGCCCAUGCUCUUAUGAUGAUGAUUUGUGGUAAGAUGUUCUCCCAUGAUGAUGAUGUGGCUAGGUGUUCUUCAGCGAAAGCAAGUCCCUGAGUAGCAAAAUUGCUCGAGUUGCAAGGUGGCGGUGUGGACACUUAGGUAGUAGCAUCAGUAGCCUUCGGGCCUUGUCUUUGUAAGCCCUUUGGGCCCUGUCCUUGUAAGCCUUCGGGCCAUGAUUAAUAUACCAAUUUUUUUUUAAAAAAAAAAAAAAAAAAAAAAAAAAAAAAAAAAUUCCAUAUUAUUAUGUUCAUACUUCAAUAUGUUUUCUGAAUUUCUGCAAUCUUCUACUUUUGAACAGGAAUGGAGGUAGCAUAAGGGUUUUUUUUAUGUUUUCUUUUUCUGUCUUAUGUGCAAAGAGGGGAUGUCCUCUUGGGUAGCUUGCUGUUGGUGCAUUUACAAAAAUGCAUGCUGAACAGGAGUUGUUGGUUGAGAGAUUAGAAAAUUUAUAAAAUUAUUACUUUUUAUCAAAAAAAAAAUGUUCAUACAAACUUUCAAAUCUGGCUUAAUAUUAUUGGAUUUGAAACAGGUAAGCGUUGUAGAAAAUAAAAAAUAAUACUAGUAAACAGAUUUUAAAUUUAUUAUAAAAUAAUUUUUAAAUGUAAUUCUUGUUUUUUUAUAGAAAGAAGAAACGUUUCAUGCAUGUUCAUUUGUUGGUUGGUUCAUGAACUUGCCAACUUGGUGGAUAUGGAGAAAGAUAAUGGUACUAGCUAGUUAAUGUCUUAACUCUUAAUAACCACCAUUCAAAUUAGAAUUGAAAUCAAUCUUAUCUAAUUAAGUACAACUUGUAAUUACAUGCAUGUAUAGUAUAUACUAAUAUAUAUAUAUUGGCUUCUGCCUUUCCAAUAUUCUCAUAGAGUUUUAACGUUUAAAGCCAAUUCAAAGAGAUGGUAGGACCACUAAGGCCUAUGUUUGUGCUCUUUGGAUCUUCAAUUGUUCAGUUUAGCUACACCAAUGGUGGAUGGGGAGCUCAUCUCACCACUGUCUAUAGUCGUCAAGCAGACAUAGUUUUACGAGGGUACAGUGGUUGGAAUUCGAAGCGUGCACUUGCUAUCGUCGAUCAAGUUUUUCCGCAGGAUGCAGUUGUACAACCUGAUUUGGUUAUAACUUACUUUGGAGGUAACGACGCCAUGGAGUAUAAUCCAUCAGGCACAAGUCCUCAUGUACCACUUGAGGAAUACAUUGAGAACAUGAGAAAGAUUGCACUUCAUCUCAAGGGCUUGUCCGAUAAAACACGCCUUAUUUUUCUUAGUUGUCCUCCUCUUAAUGAGGAACAAUACAUUUCUGCAUAUGGCAAUGAGAUAGUUCGCACAAAUGAAACCUCUGAAAGAUAUUCAGAAGCUCUUUUAAAGCUCUGCAAAGAAAUAGGAGUGAAGGCAAUUGAUCUUUUUAACUCAAUCAGGAGGAAAGAUAACUGGCAAAAUAUAAGUUUUACAGACGGUAUCCAUCUCUCUGCUGAGGGUAGUUCUAUAGUUGCUGAAGAGAUAGAGAAGGUCCUGAAGCAAGCAGAAUGGGAACCAAGUCUGAAUUCAGACUCAAUGCCAACUGAAUUUCCAUAAUCUAUUUGAAAUUCCAGAUUCUGUUGCAGAUGACAGAAAGCACAAUAAUUUGCAUCAUUACUAAGUAUCUAUGUGUAUAGGUAUUAUUGGGUAUGGGUCUUGGCUUUUAUACAACCUACUUAUAAUUAAGGUAAGGAUAAAAUCGAAAUUAUCAGUAUUGGGUAUGGGCCUGGACUUUUAUACAAUCUGUUUAUAAUUAAGGUAAGGGUAAAACCAGAAUUAUAAAUAUUGGAUAUGAGCUUGAGCUUUUAGAAGGGUAAAACCGUAAUUAUCAGUAAUGUUUAUCUGUGUUUGUGACACGUCAGGCUUCGCAAACCACCUCGGUUUAGGGGAACCUUAUAAAGUAGUAGAGAUAUGUUUUUAUAAUUUUCUUGAAUUGUGUUUAAUUAAUAUCUAUUUUCAAGUGCUAUUGAAUAUUUGUAUUUUUAUAAAUAUUUUCAUUCUGAAUUAUGGUUUCUAUUUCCACUAGAGUUGGUUUAAGCUUAAUAUUCCUUGCUUUCUAGUGAUUGUUCUUCUUAUUUAAAGAGUUAUAGACUUGUAGGCCUUUUUUAACAAAUUCAAAUCAAAUCAAGCAACAAAUAUGGCAAUACAAAAGCAUAAUCCAUAUAUUAUUAAAAAAACAAGCACAAUCCUUGGAAGCUUAAGUAGUGUCGUCUCAAUAAUAUAAUGCAAUAUCAGAGGGAAUUUGAAGAAGAACCCAAUACCAACAAAAACCUAAAGAAGACUCCUUAAGUGUUGUUAACGGUUCAGCAGACGAUAUGAGUGAACGUAAUUAGAAAUGAACGUAAGUAUAAAAUAUAGCGAUCAUUUGGCAUCAACAUCCACCUUAAUUAGUUAUUAGUGGUUUCGUGUUUUUUAAAUUUUAUAUUAUAUGAACUUUGAUCAUUUGAUGUCAAUUGCUUUUGCCACAGAACUGACAUGAAAUCAGCAAAGAUAAUCUUAUAUUCUCUAGCAUCCUUCUUAAUUAUUUGGAUUAUACAUUGGUAAUCUUAAAAUAUUUAUAGAGAUAAUUAUGGAUUGCCCCUCUUUUUAAAAUUGAAGGUGACGACUGCCCCUCUUUUCCAAAUUGUUUCAUGACCACCCCUAUUUUUAGCACCUUUCUACUAUAUUUCUCAUUUUACUCUUAACUUUGUGUUUCAUGUUUGCCCCUCCCUUCUCAAAACCACACUCUGAGUCAACAACUCAUAGUAGUUUCAUUACCGACCGUAAAUCUAAAUAAAAUAACUACAAAUCAACGGGUAAGAUCUAAUCCGAUCUAAUGUCUAUCUCGAUACCCAUCCAACGGUUAAAACAAAAGUUUAGCACCAAUCACAAUAUGACACGUGUCUACUUACUUAAUUUCCCCAAAAAUCAAACACGAAUCUCCACAAAAUUAUUAGUACUUCAAAUUCAAAAAUCAAACCAACCAUUAAUGUUGAUCGCUAAGGUAACAUAAUGUUUUUUCCCUUCGUCGUCGAUUUCAAUAACUUCAAUGAUAUUAGAACGUCCAUCUUCUUCUCCAAUUAUUUCAACUUCGUCAUUGUCAACAGACUUCACAGUAUUUCCUUCAUCUUUGUCAUCGAUUUCAAUAACACCUUCGAUGUUUUUGAAAUAAUGGGAGAAGCCUCUGUAAACGUCGUCUACCAUUAGAAUCAACAAUGGAAGCCAUUCAUAAGAUAAAAUUAAACUACUUUACACGUGGUAAUUAAGGAUUAGAGCUAAUUUGAACCAUAGAUUUGUAUUUAGAUUCGUGUUAGAUUCUAUUAAAUCUUGGCCAUUGAUAUUGUCUGGACAUUUGUAUUAAAUUAUAGUACUGUACAUGUGUCAUCUUUUAAUUGGUUAAUAGGAUUUCCUUAUGGCCGAAGAUGGGUAUCGAGAUUAGUGUUACAUUAUUUUAAAUCUCCGGUUGGUAAUGAAACCACUAUGGGUUGUUGACUCAGCAUAGAGUGUCGUUUUGAAAAGGGAGGGCCAAAGAUGAAACACAAAGUUUAGGGUAAAAUGGGAAAUAUAGUAGAAAGGUGCUAGAAAGAAGGGUGGUCAUGAAACAAUUUGAAAAAGAGGGGCAGUCGCCACCUUCAAUUUAAAAAAAAAGGGACAAUCGCUAAUUAUCUCAUAUUUAUAUUAAAAGUUAUUCUGUUCAUUUGAUGAGAUCGAUCUCUUGGCGAUAUAUGUCUUCUGAUUAACACUAACCAUGUGAUAGUGAGAUGUAACCACUAUUACAUUAAAAACUCUUCUAGCUGUGCUUCAUGAGUGGGUUUGGCUAAUUUUGACCUGAAUAAAUAGUUUAACAACCGGGGGAGGGGGUUGAUUAAGGACCUAAACUUGACAGACAUCACUUAAGAUUAUUGGGUGAACAUUAAAACGAUUGAAGAGAAAUUUUUAAUUUUUUUCUGAUAAGGUUCAAACAUAAUACAGUGUUACAGAAGGGACCAAGUUCCUUCUCCGGCCAGUCACGGUUUCCGGCAGGUGCUAUGGUGGUCAGGACCUAGAUCUACUGACUGGGAACAUUACCGUGCAAAGAGAGAAAGCAGCAUGUAAAACCUGCAGGUUCCACUGCACCAAAGUGCUGGGCUAAAGCAAUGGAAAAGUCCAUGGCACUCUUUCAAUCCAUCAGCAGCUCACUACUCAUGGACUUUCUUAUUUCAGCCCAAGUUCACCUCCUCGUAUUAAAAAGUCCUCUCCAGUCUCCACUGUUACACGUACCAAUUCCAGUAGCAGGAAACGUUGAACAUCAAUAGUUUUUUUUUUUUUUGCAAAUUGCAAGCGUAGGGUUAAGGCAGACCCCAACCAGAUUUUAUUGAAACCAGAAACAGAUUACAUUCAGUAUAGUGUGCCAAUAGCAUCACUAUCUAUGAGCCGAUCAAUAGUAAACCCCAUAGGGUAGGCAAAAUAGGUGAUUACAUCAGUGUUUGGGUAGGUUGUUGCCAGGGCAUCUGCAACCUUAUUAGCUUCCCUAAACACAUGUUGAAUGGUAAUUUCCUCAAAUGAUCCCAUGAGAGAUCUGAUGUGCAUGGCCAUGCUUUCAACCCUCCAUGUUGGAGCGGUUAACCUAUUCAGAAUCCUAGCAACCUGCAUCGAAUCAGUUUGCACCAUAAUCUUUUUCAGUCCCAUCUGGAUUGCUAAUUCCAGCCCUUUCUCGACGGCAAUCAUCUCAAGAUACAGAACUGAAUUUGUUUUACAUCCUGCACUGUAGGCAUUAAGAGCUUGUCCUGUGUCCGUCCUCAGAAUCCCAGCAUAGCCAGUCCCUUGCUGACCAAGAGCUCCAUCAGAGUUGAGGGCAACCCAACCAAGUAGUGGUGGGCUCCAGGCUACUCUCAAUUGUUGUUUAUGUGCAACUUUCAUAGGUUGUCGCAAUUGGCUUGCUGCAAACCUAUUCCAGUAAUUGUCACUAUACGUCGCCUUGCUUGUUGCCACUUUAACUCUGACAUCCCGAAUGAUGAGUUGAACAAUCUGGAGCUCCGUUCUGACUUGCUUUUUGAAUAUACGCGCAUUUCUUUCUCCCCAAAUCCAAUAAAUAGUAGCAGCUAGUGUUGUUUGAAUGAGCACUUUGUGGAGGGAUUGGCCUGCAAGUCUUCUUAGAAUCCAUUUCCACUCUUUGAUUGAGUUGUUGUGUUUCCUUGUUAUCCCACACCAUGCUAAGACUUGCUUCCAUAUGCUACCAGCUAUGCAACAUUCGAAGAAGAGGUGAAAGCAGUUUUCAGGAAUGGGUCCUGUACUUGAGCUUACAUGCUGCUGAUUCCAGUGAUACAUUGAACAUCAAUAGUUCAUAUGACAGACCACCAUAACACCAUUCAAUUAUUCAAAUAUCAACCUUAUCUUAAAAGUUCUUAGAGCUAAUAAUUGAGAAAACCAGUUCUACUGCUCUAGAUUCAGUGCAGGUAUCAAUUCAUUAUUUCAUUGGCUUCUGUUUCCAAAUCUCAUAGAGUUUGAACCAAUUUAGAGAGAUGGUAGGACCACAACGACCGCAAUUCGUGCUCUUUGGAUCAUCCAUUGUUCAGUUAAGCUAUAGCAAUGGCCAAUGGUGGAUGGGGAGCUCAUCAUGUAGGACAUGUUAGGAAUUACUAUUUUAAUUCUAAGUAUGAAAUAGGUUCCAGAAUAUAUUGUUUUAGGUCUAAGUAUAUUAUAUUAGGAAUCAUUAUGUUUUUAGAAGUCGUAUAAUUUAGAAGUCCUUUACUUGACAAACAAGCUUCUUGCUCUAUAAAAGAAGCUCUAGAUUAUUGUAAUAGUUAGAGGUUGAUUAUUAUUGAAUUGAAUAGAAGAAUUGCUUUUUGAGUUAUCCUUGUUUUCUUGCUAGAUUAUUCAUCUUUUCCUUCUUUUUACUUGGUGGAUUCCAAGUUUCUCGUUCGUAUAGGUUCCUAACCCUAUCUUCUUAUCUUCUUUGAGAGAUUCUUAUCUCUUUCUUCUAAGUUCUACAUUAAGUGGUAUCAAGAACCUCACUUUCUAGAUCCUUAUCUAGAAAGCGGUCCGUCGUCACCUUCCAUUCAAGCAGUUUUCGUCCAUACAGAUUCAGAAAUAUUCGUCAGAUUUGCAGGCUUCUCCUGGACAGAAUACUUUGAACCAGUGUGCGUGCUAUAGCUUGUUGGAAAGAUCUGCGAGUCUUCUUUCUAACCCAAUCAACGGUUUGCAAUUCGGAAAUUCGGAAUUCUGAUAAGAAAGAUACACACGUUCUACUAAAAGGUGUUGAAUCAGUUUUUUUUUUUUUUCUGCAACAACACUUUUCUUAAGAUCUAAUGGCACCUAAUCAACAAGAUUUUGUUUCAAGGAAAGAUUUUGAUGCAGCCAUCAAUUCCCUUAAAGAAAGUCAGACUUUGAUGCAAUCUACCAUGAAAACAGAGUUGAAAACUUCGCAUGAUUCCUUGAAAGAUUCUAUUGAUCAACUCACCCGCCAAAUUUCUCAAUUUCUUCAAGGUAAAGACAAGAUAGAUGAAGAGAUUCCCGUAUCUACAUCCAAUAUUCCAGCCACCAUCAUCUCUCUCCCCUCUACACCUAUGGUUCCCUCCACCAUCCAACCAAUUUCCUCUUUUUCUCAAGAGGAGAGUGUUGAUUUUAACCUAGCCGACUUCUUUAAAGAAGAGGAGUUUAUUGCAUGUUCUACCUUUCCUACUUAUGAAGACCCUAUUGAGUAUUUUUGUUCGAUAUCCAUUAAUUAUAAAGGGAAUGUUAAAGCUUUGUUUGGCGACACACACUUCAAAUUGAUAUACUAUCCUUUGAUUUAUUUCCCUUCUCGAAGCCAAAAGAAGAAGUGGGAGGAUCACGGAAGUAUUAUACUCUCGUCUUUAGGAAGUGACUCCCUUGUGAUUCCAAUGCAUAACUCGAGGGCGAGUUAUUUUAAAGAAGAGGAGACUGAUGUAGGACAUGUAAGGAAUUACUAUUUUAAUUCUAAGUAUGAAAUAGGUUCCAGAAUAUAUUGUUUUAGGUCUAAGUAUAUUAUAUUAGGAAUCAUUAUGUUUUUAGAAGUCGUUUAAUUUAGAAGUCCUUUACUUGACAAACAAGCUUCUUGCUCUAUAAAAGAAGCUCUAGAUUAUUGUAAUAGUUAGAGGUUGAUUAUUAUUGAAUUGAAUAGAAGAAUUGCUUCUUGAGUUAUCCUUGUUUUCUUGCUAGAUUAUUCAUAUUUUCCUUCUUUUUACUUGGUGGAUUCCAAGCUUCUCGUUCAUCUAGGUUCCUAACCCUAUCUUCUCAUCUUCUUUGAGAGAUUCUUAUCUCUUUCUUCUAAGUUCUACAUUAUCAUCUCUCUGACAUCUAUAGUCGUAAAGCAGACAUUAUUUUACGAGGGUACAAUGGUUGGAAUUCAAGGCGUGGACUUAAAGUUGUCGAUCAAGUUUUUCCAAAGGAUGCAGCUGUACAACCUGAUUUGGUUAUAGUUUACUUUGGAGGUAAUGACAUCAGGCUUAAGUCCUCAUGUACCACUUGUGGAAUACAUUGAGAACAUGAGAAAGAUUGCACUUCAUAUCAGGAGCUUGUCAGAGAAAACGCGUGUUAUUUUUCGUACUUGUCCUCCUGUCAAUGAAGAACAAUUCUGUAUAUCAUUUGGCACUGAGCUCGUACGCUCAAAUGAAGAUUGUCAGAGAUAUUCAAAUGCUUGUUUAGAGCUCUGCAGAGAUAUAGGAGUAGGUAGUUGAUCUUUGUAGUGCAAUCAAGAGAGAUAACUGGGAAAAGUUGUGUUUUAUUGAUGGCAUAGUACAAAAUAUCGAUAUCGAGUAAUGUAUCGAUCUUCAAAAAAUAGAUAUAUCGAGAUAUAUUGGAAUCUAUCGGUGGAUAUUUUACAUCGAACCUAUCGACUAAUAUAUCAAUUUGUUAUACAAAAUAUAUAUAAAAUCAAAUUUGGAAGUAUAUUAUCAUAGUAUUUACCUAUAAAACAUCAUAUCUACUAAAAAUGGAAUAAACAAAUUAUUUCCCCCCAAAAAAAAUAUUUUCAGAAAAUAUCAGUAAAUAUCGGGAAAUAUCGAAAAAUAUCGGCCGAUACUUACAGAAACAUCAGGAGGUAAAUAUCGGGAAUGUAUCGUAUCGUUUUUUUAAAAAAACCGCGAUAUAUCGCGAUAUUUUGUACUAUGAUUGAUGGUGUCCAUUUCUCUGCCGAGGGUAGCUUUAUAGUAGUGGAGGAGAUAUUGAAGGUUUUGAAGGAAGCGAAGUGGGAACCAAGUCUGUAUUGGAAAUCACUGCCAACUGAAUUUACAGAUCUUGUUGCAGAUGACAGAAUACACACGAUAAACGUCGAUGAAUGGACCCUUUAUAGGGAACAUUGGCAUUAAGUUGUAAAUGCACAAAUGGAAGUUUGUCUUCUGAUUAAUUGUAACCACUGAAUAAGUUGAUCUAAAACUUGUUAACUUAUUUUACUGUUUUUUUUUUUUUUUAACAAAAGAUAAUUUUCCAUUCAUUCUAGCACAAAGCUGUGUACAAACAGGACUUUCCAGCAGCUAUACAUAUUUGAGUCAUUAGACUACUGAACAUCACAUACUGACAAGAGCAAUAUAAAUUCAUUGUCAUGCAUUCAUACUCAUAGAUUGUAACAUGAUUUGGCGCUACAAAACCGGCGAACUCUUAUAAAGAGUACCAUAUGAAAAAAAAACAGUUUUUUUUGAAUUUAAUCGAAAACCAAUAUACUACGUCACAAAAGCAUUAGAACGGUAUAAACCACAAACCAAAUAAUAUCUUAAGAUUGUAGAAAAAUAUACACUGAUAUAUUACUAUUUUAAAAUAAAUAAAGGGGAAUAGAUGAUGGAAACCAAAAUAAAUGGAUGAAUGACAAGAUUUAGUUCGAGCCGAAAUAAAAAUCUCUCUCCUUAAGAUAUUAUUCACGCCGUACAUGUGUUGAACGGUUUAUCAAUGGCGGAUUGUCUCCCAAGAUACAACAAUAUAUCCUUCUUAGCGUAGCAGCACUUCAAACACAUAGAAGACGGCAAACCAAUUCUUUGUUAUACUCUCUCAUGACAAGACACAAACAUUAAAAGAUGGAAAAACAAAUGAUUGAAAAGUGAUUUGAAUACAAACACAAGACACACUUAUAUAGCAGGAAAGACACCUUUUCAGAAAGGCACAUGUCUAUUGAUCUAUUCAAUGUCUAUUUGAAUAGACACUUGACCUAAUACAAUGUACACAUCUGUUGGGAACAAACACACCUAUGUGUGUACACCUAUGUGGGAACAAACACAUCUGUCAGAAUAUGUGUGUACAAAGUAUGUGUCGAUUAAGGAAAGACACACUCAUUGGGAUGGGUUGGGCCAGAUACAAUGUAUGUGAAAUGCACACAUAUCUAUUAUCUAUUAUACUCUAUUAAAGUAGAAAAUACCCCUAAGAAAAUAUCUCUUCAAUUAGGCUAUCAAUUAGAUUGAAAUCAAUAGCCUAAUUGAAUAGAAUUUUGGUUUAGUUUGGGUAUAUUUAUAAUUGUACGCAUCUAAAAAAAAUGGGCCUCGAAGAUAAUUUUACCUCUAAUUAACCCUAAUCUUUGUUUAACCUAAUAAACUCAUGUUCUACUACUUCUUCUCUCCAUACGCAGAAUAUGGUUCCAAGUUCCAACAAUCGCGGCAGGAUAAAAAAAUAGAAGUGGGGAUUACCACGAAGGAAAAGAGAUAGAAGUUCUCAAGGAAUUUAAAGUUAAGCUUUUUAUUUUCUCAUAAUGUUGGGUAAGCCUAUAUAUUUUGUUAAGUAAUCUACCUUUGAUAGAUUCCAGAUGGACAAGUUUCUUUUCAUAGGCAUGCCAAAGCAAACCUCUCUUUGGUUUCAAUGUUUAUUAGUGUGUUUUACUGGUUUCUAUAUCUUUACUUGCGCAGGAGAUCAAAUUACAUGGAACUACACUGUUUUAAUUUAUGGUUGGCGCCCUUUGUGUCAUUCUGUAGGUCGUGAACAUGAAGUUGUUGAUGAAGAAUUGACAGUCAAUCAGACAGAAACAACACAAAUAUUAAGCACACCUGUAGAAGAAAUGUACCUCUACCUCCAUGCCUUGAAUAGUCGAAUUCUCCUAUAGGAAAUGAUAAUAGAGGUAAUUUAGACAAUAUCAAAAAAAAACUAUGGUAAGUGCUAAGUGACGAUGCUGAGUAGAAUACAAAAAAAACUUAAAAAGAAAAAUUACAAACAUUUGUAGAAGAACAAAUUAAGAACUACACACUACAAAAAAAUUGUGUUUAAUUAGAAAGGAGUUUAAAAGAUUAGAUAGUUUUUACCAUUUAAAAUAAAAAUUAGAAAAUUCAGAAAUAUACACCAACUGAAAUCCACAUCCCAUUAUUUCCCUGUAUCAAAAAUAUAAAAAAAAAAAAUUCACAUAUUACUUCAUUCUUUUUCUCUUUCAAAAUCAACAAAGUUCCAUCAUUAAGUGCUCCCAGCACAAACAACACAAACCCAAAACAAAAGCCCAAAAUCUAUCAGAUAUUCAGAUCGCACAGGUGUAAGGACUAGUUUAUCUAGUAUAACACAAGUUAGUCAUAUGAGUGAAUAACUUAUGAUUUUAAUUUCUCAUUCGUAUACAAAUGUUUUGACUACUCAAAAAUAUUUCCAUUAAUUUCUCAUUCAUAUACAAAUGUUUUGACUACUCAAAAACAUUUCCAACAUGUUUUGCAAGUAAGUCGACAGCUUGAUUCGCUUCUCUCCGUAUGUAUCUGUCAAAAAUUUCAAAUCAGGCCUAAUAUUACUGGAUUCGAAACAGUUAAACGUUGUCUAAAAUUCAAAAUAAUACUAGUAAACGGAUUUCAAAUUUAUUAUAAAAUGAUUUUCAAAUGUAAUUCUUGUUUUUUUAUAGAAAGAAUAAACGUUUCAUGCAUGUUCAUUUGUUGGUUGGUUCAUGAACUUUGGUGUAUCUGGAGAAAGAUAACGGUACUAGCUAGUUAAUGACCACCGUUCAAAUUAGAAGCUGAAAUCAAUCUUAUCUAAGUACAACUUGUAAUUACAUGCAUGUUACCAUGUAUAUAUAUAUAUUGGCUUCUGCCUCUCCAAUAUUCUCAUAGAGUUUAAACGUUUAAAGCCAAUUCAAAGAGAUGGUAGGACCACUGAGGCCUAAGUUCGUGCUCUUUGGAUCUUCCAUUGUUCAGUUGAGCUACACCAAUGGUGGAUGGGGAGCUUAUCUCACCACUGUCUAUAGUCGUCAAGCAGACAUAGUUUUACGAGGGUACAGUGGUUGGAAUUCGAAGCGUGCACUUGCUAUCGUUGAUCAAGUUUUUCCGCAGGAUGCAGUUGUACAACCUGAUUUGGUUAUAACUUACUUUGGAGGUAACGACGCAAUGGAGUAUAAUCCAUCAGGCACAAGUCCUCAUGUACCACUUGAGGAAUACAUUGAGAACAUGAGAAAGAUUGCACUUCAUCUCAAGGGCUUGUCCGAUAAAACACGCCUUAUUUUUCUUAGUUGUCCUCCUCUCAAUGAGGAACAAUACAUUUCCGCACAUGGCAAUGAGAUGAUUCGCACAAAUGAAGCCUCUGAAAGAUAUUCAGAAGCUCUUUUAAAACUCUGCAAAGAAAUAGGAGUGAAGGCAAUUGAUCUUUUUAACUCAAUCAGGAGGAAAGAUAACUGGGAAAAUAUAAGUUUUACAGACGGAAUCCAUCUCUCUGCUGAGGGUAGUUCUGUAGUUGCUGAAGAGAUAGAGAAGGUCCUGAAGCAAGCGGAAUGGGAACCAAGUCUAAAUUCAGACUCAAUGCCAACUGAAUUUCCAUAAUCUAUUUGAAAUUCCAGAUUCUGUUCAGAUGACAGAAAGCACACUAAUUUGCAUCAUUACUACGAAUAUGUUUUUAUAAUUUUCAGUAAUUGUGUUUAAUUUCUAUUUUUAGACUUUGUUUCAUUCUGAAUGAUGGUUUCUAUUUUCAUUAGAGUUGGUAGACUUGUAGCCUUGUAGGUCUUUUUUAACAGAUUUAAACCAAAUCAAGCAACAAAUAUGGCAAUAUAAAAGCAUAAUCCACAUAUUAUUAAUAAAAACAAACACAAUCCUUGGAAGCUUAAGCAGUGCAGUCCCAAUAAGAUUAUGCAAUAUCAGAAUAAUUUGUAGUAGAACCCAAUACCAACAAAAACGUAAAGAAGACUCCCCAAGUGUUCACCAUUCAGCAGACGAUAUGAGUGAGGUGGCUUUGAGCACGCGACAUUGGAUAAAUUGUAAACCGUAAGGCAUAAGUGCAUCAAGAAUAAAGUGUACUUAUAAAUGCAAGUUACAACGUUGUCAGUUUGUCACCAUCACAAAAAUGACAUAAUGAUCAGUUCAACGAGCACUUCAAUCAAACUGAUGGUUAAGACUUAAGAGUUGCAUACAAUGAUUAAAAGUUGCAGAAUAGCCCACAGAGAUGGAGCUUUACAGCAUUCAAACCUUGUUUGCUUAUGUUUAUGUAGGGAUAAAUCCUCAACAAAUCACGAGACAUGUUCAACAAAGCCACUGGAAUCCAGGACAGGCAUCCACUAACCUCAAGGACAGUACUUAGAUCGCAAUAUUCUGAGGAACUCUACAUACUCAGCUGGAACUGCAUCACUGGAGAAUACUUCUUCCCAUGUCUUUUGGAGAUCAAACUUAUCUGCUGCAAAGAGACACAUGAUGAUCAUGUCAAAUCGUGCGACCUUAGUCAAACUAUCUAAGAAGUUGACAGCUAACUCAGUUUCUUCCCAGAAAAAGGUAGCAAUGCACUUUACGAUAUCAAUCAGCAGAGAGGCAGACAAGAAAUUUUUAAACAAUUGCGGCAAGGUAGAAGGAGUUAUAGUCUUCAGCAAACAAGCUUGUAAUGAUCGAUCACCAGAUAGCCUUUUCCAAGAAGUCUCAAACUCGUACGCUGACGUUGGUUGUGUGAUAUUUUUUUCAGCUUCAGCCAUUGCUCGAGACACUGCACGUGAUGCAAGCUCUUGCACUGAGUUUCUUAGCUCUUGCUCCCUUAUAGGAUGAAUUUUUUUUGAAGCAUCUCCACCAGAACUCAAUGUUGCCCCUUGCUGAGAUCCAUUUGAUUCUUCUCUCCUACUUCUGCUUCUAGUACUUUCUACUUCCUCAAUGCGAUUUUCAUUCGUUCGGAUUUUUUGUGCAGCUUGAGCAGAAUUUUUCAUUACUUGCGAAGCCUUUUCAUAAUUUUCCUUGUCAUACAUCGCUUUUGCUUCUGCAUACUGCUUCUUAAGUUCUUGGUUUUGAGGCUCUAGCCUCAAAGCAAAUUCAGAAUCUUCAAAGGAUCCUUUUAGUUUCCCAAGUUCUUUCCUAGCAGUUGCACGCCUUGAGUAUGCUUUUAUGUAACGGUCAUCCAAAUUUAAGGCAUCUGUACAAUCAUUUUCAGCCUCUUCAAAUCUUUUGACUUUUAGGUAUGCCAUAGCUCUAUUUGCAAAAGCCACUGCCGUUGGUGAUAAAGCAAUGCUUCUUGAAUAGCAGUCAAUUGCUUCCUUGAACUUUUUCUGCUUAAAAAAUUCAUUACCCAGAUCUUUUUCUGAAGCAGCAGUUGGAGAACUUUCUUCAGAUAAGCUAUUUGAUAAACGAUCGAACUCCUUUGGACUUCCUGCGUAGUCAAACUGUCGCGCAGUACUUUGUACCGUUCUACUGCCACCUAUCAUUCCAGCUCUUUGAGAGGAAGACCCGACUUCACCCUUUUCAUCAGAGUGAGCUUUUAAACUUUCCCAGCUUUGCAAAUCAUUAUAUAAUCCUCGAAAGUCCAGAUUAUUUGGAUCAGGAUAUUUCUUGUUUGGAACCCUAGCCAUAGAGGUUCUCCUCUUCACCCAACCUCAAGAUAUAUGGUUACUGCACAAAUAAUUCUUUAUAAUGACACCUAUUUGAAGAACACAUAUGAGUCAGUUAGCAACUUAUUCCACCUUUACCGAUCAAAGUAUAUACAUACUGAGCUUGCACAAUCACCUUGUUAUAGUGAAAGAUAGAAAUGAGACAAAAUCAGUCGUAAAGUUGCACUCAUAUAAAGAUGCACCCGAAUUUAGUCCAUCACCAUACAUUAGAGUAGCUAGAAUGGAACUUAGUAACUACAGGGACAUGGAUCAUUUACUAUACAAGCACGAAGCAUGUGACCAUGAAAACGAACCAACAGUUUACUUCAAACUCAGAAUACUAUGCAUACAUUCUAUGCUAUUAAUAUGACAAUGUUAACUGUAUAGAGAUGCAGCCAGUCUAAACUUAAAACCACAAUUUAGUGGGUGGAAACCAUCGAUAAAUGAAGUUUAGAAAGAACCACAAGUAUAUCAAGUUAACUCGAGCUAUUUUAUACUUAACCUGAACCAUCAGUUGGAAAGUGUUCUGGCGGCAGAAUUUCCAGAGACCUUGUCUAAAAACCCUUGGAACCAAUUUUUCACACUUUUAAUACAUAGGAUCUCAAACAAGUUUAGGAGAAGUCCAAUCCAACAUUCACUAGAGCCCAUGUCUUAUAAAACGAAAAACAAAAAAACAAUACUGUACAUUAUACCUAUGGUUUCAACCAUAGUACAAAAUAUCGCGAUAUAUCACGAUAUAUCGCGAUAUUUAUCGGUUUUCAAAGAAAACGAUACGAUAUAUUCCCGAAAUUUUCGCCUUAAAGUAUCUGUAAAAUAUCGGCCGAUAUUUUUCGAUAUAUUCUGAUAUAUUCGACAUUUUCCGAUAUUUACUGAUAUUUUCCGAAAUUUUCUGGAAAUAUUAUUUUUUUUCAAAUUUUUUUUUUUGGAAAUAAUUUGUUUAUUCUAUUUUUAGUAGAUAUGAUGUUUUUUAGGUAAAUACUAUGAAAAUAUACUUCCAAAUUUGAUUUUAAAUAUAUUUUGUAUAACAAAUUGAUAUAUUAGUCGAUACAUUCCAUGUAAAAUAUCCACCGAUAGAUUCCAAUAUAUCCCGAUAUAUCUAUUUUUUGGAGAUCGAUACAUUAGUCGAUAACGAUAUUUUGUACUAUGGUUUCAACAUAGUGUAGGGAAUCCUUAACACUUGAGUCCCAACAAAUAUGCUAAGGAUGAGAUUAAAUGAGGAAGCAAAAUGGGAAAAUAUACAUACCACAUAUUGAUGUGGAUCACUGUGACUAAAGUGAAAACAUGGAGUCGAACCAAAACCCUUGUGCUAAAAGGUAAAAACCAAAAACAAAGGGAAUAUGACACAUGGAUUUCGACCAAAAUAAUCUUCCCUUUGUUUUUGCCCUUGAUCCAUAUCACUUGUGCUUAAAGGAUAGGAAACCAAGGGAGUGUUUGAUUGCAGAAGAAAAUGAUCACAGGUAUUUCUUACUUUGCAAUGAAGAUUAUUCUUGAGAUACAAACUUCUCUUCCAGAUUCAAAUGAUAUUUCUUCAAAUAUGGGACUCACAAAUUUCCAAUAUAAAUUAAGACCAGAAACAUGUACGCCGAAUCUGAUUCCUAUUGACACUUCUUGAGUUCUUUCUGAUCAUCGAUCUAGGAUUCUCACUAGACGCUGAUUUACAGAAAAGAAAAGUGACAAUUUAUACGCCAUAUUACGCUCCUUUUGUGCAUGCAUUAAUGUGAAAUAAAGAUAACUUUUGCUUCCUUCAUAAUGAGAAUUACCAGCAUUUCAUCUUAAGACCAGUUUAAACAACUAAAAUCAUAAAUAAACACAUAUAAAAUUCUAAUAAGAACAAAAAAAUUCUAAUUCAAUAAGAUAGUAUUAAGUGACAUAAUUGAUGAAUCACCUUAUGGAAGAAGAAUUUUCUAAUUGAAAACAGUAGAAUCUUUUUUAUCAGAAGAGUUAAUUGCAGCUUCUGCUUCAAGAAAUCGACUCAAAUGUUUAUCUUCAAGAUGUUCCUGCAAAACCCAAAUCCAAAUCAAUCAAACCCCAAAUCGCUAAUUACUCAUAAAUGAAGAAGAAUAGAAAGAAACACUUACAGAAAGACAAGCUCUGUACUUCUGCCACUCAGAAACACACUCCUCUUUAUCCCACUUCCCUUUUACAAAUUUCUCCGAAUACCACCUGCCAAUUUCAUUAUAAAUUACUAGUAAAUUAAAAGAGAGAGAGAGAGAGAGUUGAAGUAAACCUGUUGAAACAAUCGUGAUAAGCAGCUCUUAAAACGGCACAAGGUGAUGUCUUCGGGUCCUUUUUCUUCAAAACCCCCAUAUAAAAAAUCACUCUCUCUCUCUCUCUGCAACUCUUUCUGUAUUACUGGUUCAUCGGAUUUAGGUUUUUUUAUUUAAGGAAGAAGAAGAAGAGUUGUUUCGGCUUCGUUUCAACGACAAGCCGAAACUUCCAGACUUUUACGAUGAUGACUUGGAUCCAGUACUUUCUUGGGCACACUUCGUAUGUCCAUUUUCAGUGGAUUGGACUUUUCAGAUAAGCCUUGGCUUCUCAUUGCCAUAAGCACAGUUCUAUAACUUAUUUAGAUGCUUUAGUAAAGAACAUAGGUAUCGUAAUUUGUGCAAGUUUGGAUUAGCUCAGUUUUUGGUCAACACUAGCUAACUUUGCUUAAAUUGGAUUGUAAGAAAAUGUGUUAACAUUAACAGUUGGGAUUUUAUAACAUGGUUAGGUGAAAGUGAAACCAUAAACAAGCACCCAAAACACUUUCAUUCAUUCAUAAAAGUGAAUAAUAAUAAUAAUAAUGUUACAUUACAAUGCUUUGCAAAUGAUUCCUUACAUAUAACAAAUGACUGCCCAAAAAUGCGGCUGUCAAAUUACAACUAAAAGUAUUGAGGACUGACAAAAACCCAAUAAAUAAAGAAACCACGAAGCUCUUUCAUGGGAAAAUGAUUCCUCGACUGUGAACAUUUCCGUAGUUGCACAGCAUGAAACUAUGAGCUUCGACGACAUCAAAAUGAAUACUCCCAACUUGCCGUAAGGACAUGGGAGGAAAAAAAAAUGAACCAAUUGGCAAUACCUAAUUGAGAUAGACCUAAAACCACCAGGUUUGGGUUCUAGACCUGACCCUUUUGCAUGAGACUAUGAUAAUGUACAAUAUACAUACACCUAGACAAGGACGAGAAUGUGAAAAUAUGCACAAGUUACAAGAGAAAAUGAAUCACACACAUGAUUCCCCAGCAUUGAGAAUGGAGUUGAUAAGGAGGGGAUCACGCAGAUAUCACUCUGCACGUUGCAAUAAGAAGACAAACCCUGAAUUUUCUCGGACGAGUGGUGGAGGGUCAAUGUCAGCUAUGUCUAUUUGUUGCAUCGUCUUUGAGAUGUCAUCAAUGGAGAAUGGUAUGCUGCAGUGAUCAAAAGGCAGGUAUUAAAUGUGUUGAUAUACGGGAAGAACAAAGUCUAGCUUGUAAGAAUGUGGGACUUUAGUGAACAUUACCUUGAGUCGUCAUCUAACAAGAAAGAACUGCUAACAGCAUUAUUUGAUUCCUCAGUCAUCUGGACUCUCAUACUGGAUAUAACCUACCAUAAGAGAGGAGUUCAAAGUGACUCAUUUGACAGAAGUGAAUUCCAUGGCAACUGAAAGAGAAAGGGUCCACAACUAUGGAUUUAAAAAGGCCAUUCUAAUUAUUGGAGAAUAUGGCAAAAGUUAAACCCAAUUGUGAAACCGGUUCAUGCUGCCAACCCUACUAAAUGCAAACCACACAAAAUAUUACUUGGGAACCAUCCACAGGCAUUAUGUUUACGAAACUAUGAAUGUGGGGAAAAUUGCAGGUCUGUACUAGUCAUUACUCGUGAUCAGAUUAGAUGACACUUACAUCUGAGGAUACACUGUGGGUCCCGUAUUUGUCGUCCCAGUACAUUGUACUGAUCCUGUACAAUUGUUGUAUGCUGAGCACCUGAAAGUAAGCAAAAGAGAAAAGAGAGUGGAGGAGCUUACAUCGCGUUUACAAUUAGAAAAGCGAUUAAGGGUAAUGCACACCGUAUUUGUCUUUAAAUAAGCUGAAUCUCACUUCUGAAGAAAUUUAAAUAAAACGAACUUUUAUGGAGUACGAGUUGAGAGCACUCACAGGGCAAAGUUCUUUUGUUAUUUCAUUCAAGGUCUUUUUGGGCUUUUGAUGUAUGACCUGCAGGAAAGCAAAAGUUUAGAUAUUAAAGACUCAGUUAGCAAGUAAUAUCAAGAUUACUCAUUUUUGCAAGACCAAAUGAACAUAACGCACCAGGAAUCCAACUGCUUGUCUGAUAUGCCUCAGUUCAUCCCAAGCAGUACCUGCAUACUGUACGAAUAUGUAUAUGUAUUUUAGGAUUCAUCAAAAUGCCUGCUAAAAACAAUCGUCCAAGCAGGUUUAGUUUUUAGUUACCUCCUCAGUUGCACUCACGCACCACUGUUCUAACUCGGCCAACCCGGCUUUCACAAACUCACCAUUACUGAACGAGCAACACUCACGCCGCAAAAGAAGGCUGUAGGGAUGCAAUGUUAUUGGUGCAAUGAUAACAUAUUGCAAUCAGGGAAACUAUAAUUUUAACAACAUAUUUACCUGUUGAACAGUUGAACAUUGACAAACGAGAAAAUCUGAGUGAACACCUUGCGGACUAAGAAUGGGGGAACCUACAGAUAAAUAAGUUGUGAGAGUAUGACACACUUCUCAGAAAACACAAUCCUUUUGCAUUAUCAUUUUCUCUGAAUUGCAAACUCACAUAAUUUGCUCUCAAUGUCUUCAAGUAAUUGUUAAGAAUUUUCACAAUGCUUUGCCAAUGAGCAAUUAAAGCUUGCUGAGCAACCGCAUUUGCUUGUGAACGUGAACCUUUCACUAAGCUUGCUCGCGAUGCUCUGGGUGCCUGCCCAAAAGAAAAGAGAAUCAAAUGGAGUUAGUAAACUGCUAAACAGUUGAAGAAAGCACUGUGAUGAAUUAGGAGUUUAAUUAAAACUGGGAACAUAUUUUAAGGAACUAAAUAUUUGUGAAAGUGUUACACAUGUUUUGCAUCUGAUCAGAACUUUCGCCGGGAAUCUUAAGGCAAUCUAUUGUUACGAUUACUGAGCUGAGAUAUGAUGGCACAACAAAUAACACAAGAACGAUAGGAUGACAUGGUGACAGGUGGGUCAACCUCAAGCACUGACACACACAAAGAUGUUUCCCCAGCAUUGCUGCUGAAGGAGCAUCGGAAGUGUUAUUUUAAGAGGAACCAACCACAAUAAAAUAUAUACGAUAACAAUGUUCUAUUUCUAGGACCCACAUUUGAUGUAUGACAAUUUCAUAAUUAUAUUUUAGAGAAAGACUAUCUAUUUCUUCAACUAUCUAUUUCUUCAAACCUUGAAUUCAGUUGCAAAUAAAUACCAAGUAACCGUGGUUUGAAUAGUCCAUAUUACUUUAACUUGACAAUCACUCUGGAUGAAUUAACAUUUUAUGAAGAUCACACUAGUGUUUAUUUUAUUCUAUAUUCUCCUUUGAAGGUGUUACAAUGACGGAUCCUGAGGAAGUAUUAUGUAUUUAGCAAUUUAUGUAGCAGAAAGAUUGGUAAACAAACCAAAUUUGAGCUAGUUAUGUGUGAGCUUCCACAUUAAGAUGGUGAGUGCUUUUCCGAACAAAUACUAUGAAGUCAUAUGAAAAGGUAUCUAUGAAUUAUAUCCACUGGAUUGAUCUUUUCAAAGUCUAUUCCCAAUGUUUAGCUUCUCUUUAAUUGAAUUUCUUCUUCUUUGUUCAAGGCUUAGGGUGUCUAUCUAUUAGGCGAUUACCGCAGAAGUUUCAAAAUUAGUUGAAGCUUUCCACCAACUAAUUUUCAUUAGAUAGAGAAUUCAGAAAAACGCUUACAACAAAAUCCAAAUUUUUGAUAUUGUUACAGUUCUUUGGUGUUUACGUUGAAAGGUGGCCAGUUUCCAACAGGUGGCCCAUGUUGGGGUUAUCUAAUUCUCUCUCACUCUUCUUCUUCUUCUCAUAUAUCAAUACUCCUUAAAAUGCAAUAUUUCGUGUAAUGGUAAUAAUGCAAUCUUCUUUACUAUACCAAUACAACAAUUUGUACUGUCAGGAUUAGAUAAUGUUUCUUCAAAUUAUUGGACAAAAAAGUGAUUUGCUAACCUGAAUACACAGUCCAAGCAUUGGGGAGAUCUCUUUCUUAAGAUUGUCUCUUAUCAUUCCAUAUAUCUUCUCAAGGAAGGCUGUGAGUUGUUGUUUAAAAAGUAGAGCUGGAUAUUUGGCUUCAACUUGUCGCAAAUCAUCCAAUCCAGCAAGCAUCCGGCCAUUAAGAAAUGAAAUCCCUGCACUUUGUGGAGAUCCUCGAAGUCCCUACAUAAUAUUUUAUAAACAGAUGAAACAUAUGAUCAUACUAUGACGGAGGUACAUGUAUAGAAAUAAAACGAGUGAUUUAUAGUUACUUGAGACAUCCUCCCAAAGAGAGAAGCCGACGGUGUUCUCCUCCGUUGUGGAGUCAAGCUAGCUGCACCGGUUGCUUUCAAUGUGCGUUGGAGAAGCAACAAUAACGUGGACGAAUUAGAUAACCAGUAGGAUAACGAAUCAUUAUUAUCCUGGACCUUCACCAAGGUAAAGCUUAGAUAAAUGAGUAAGAUGGAGUGAUACCAGUAGACUACAAAAUACACUGACAUGUGACAAUAAUAAGAUAAAGAUGUAGGUGAUUAGAUAAUUCGUUAUUGACUAUGAGGCAUAUUAAAAAGAUAAGACUCAAAUAUGAUACAUUUCUUCAUAGCCUCCAAAAUUACAUAAUACCUCUAUAGCUGAGCCAAUUGUUUGAAUGAUACGAUCAAAGACACUGGUUCUUUCGACUUCGAAUGAUCUCCAGUGAAGCAGACAUUUGUAUAUGAGACAAGAAGCAACAGGUCUUCCCCCAGAAAACCCCAGAUCUUGAGAAAUACACUUUAUCAGCAAGUCUUGGUUCUCCUGUUACAACAUCAAAUUCCAAAGCUAUAUCAACUAAAGAGAAUGAGAACUCAAAAGUUGGGGCUUUGAGUCUGAUCAAGAAGAUGUGUAGACUGUAGACUGUACAGAUAAAAAACUUAACAAACUUAUAUGAACUUUUUUACCUGUUGUUUCUCAUUAAGUGACUUCUGGGGCCUUUCCUCACUCUCAGGCUCCCGCAAACUAGACACAACUGGACUCAAAUCCUGAAACAUUUGAGACAUUGUCGGGUACAACAUAAAUUAUUUCUCUUCUCCUAAAACUUAUGCAAAAUGUACCAUGUAUGUCAACAACCAACACUCACCGAUAUAGUCCUUGCUUCUCCAUUCUGAAUAUGUCCAUUCUCUGGAGUUCUCUGUGAACACACAAAUAAAAUAAAUUAGUUGAACAAUGACAUGCAUUUCUGGGUACAAAUGUGGAGCUAGAUAAACCAAAGUAACUGUUAAAUUAUGUCCACCUGAAUGAUGGUUGACUUUGGCCGUAAAGCUAAAGCUUUGCCAGUUGGAGAAAUUGCCAGAGCUUGCUGACGAAGCACUUGAUUUUCUGAUUCAAGAUUGGAAAGUUUUUCUUCGAGCCUGAGUCAUAUAGAAAGAAAAUAACUUCAGACAUUUUAAGCGCCUGCAGAGGCUUUUCACACUUGGAUUCACAGUUAUAGUCACAUAGCCUUUUUUCUGUUUGUAGGGGAUUCAAAUUUAAAGGGGACAUUUUUUUGAUGAUAAGAGUACUGACACAUCAAAGAAUAUCGUAGUUAUAAGAAGGCGUUAACCUUCUACAGUACUUGGUCUCUAAAGACACUAAAAACAAAGCCAAACUACUUUCACCUAGAUGACAUGGACCACAUGCUGUUAUGAUGUUAUCCAUAGCUACAACUUUUUCAGUCAGUGGCAGUGGGGAUGUAGAGAAAACUUUAGGGUUCCAAAUUAUGUACCCACUUUUCAGAGAAUAUCGAAACAAACCUUUGAAGUGAAUCUUGAAGCUGAUCCACUUUUUGUUCCGCAUCUCCAAGUUUUUUUACAAGUUCCUCAUUUUUGGCCUGUGCAACAGAAUGUGCGCUUUUUACUUCUUCUGCUGUCUUUCUUUCUGAUUGAAGUGAAGCCUGCAAAUUUUACAGAGUUGAAGUCACACAUCACUCAAAAAAAUUAACAAGCACUUCACAGAAUAUACAUUUUUUUCAUCUUGUUUGUUACUCUGUUUUUUUCUGUGGAGAAUAGGAGAAAUUAAAAGCACCCUAAUUAGCGCAAUAAGUUUUUAUCUACAAGAAAUUGCUUCAGAUCAUACACUCAAAUGUAAUGAUUGCUAAGCUUCUUUUCAGUCACUCAAAAGCAGCAGCAACUAUUAGAAAUUCACUAUUAAAUGCAAUGAUGUGUGCUACACUUUAGUGCUAGUUCCGAUACAUGAAUACUUUGGAUGAAUUAGGGAUACUAGCUAGUCUUAAUCAGUAUCAAAUUCCAUGUUGUGUACUAAAUUUCUAGACUUGUGUGCUCGUCCCAGUACCAGAUUAAAGGGGGCAGCCAACAGGGACUAUAAAAUAUAAUGUCUAGCAUCAAGUAUCAAGCUUUCAUGCUCGUUCACUUUAAAUGUUUAUGAACAUUAGGAGCAAAAAUAUACGUUCUGAGCUUAGUAUAUUGAGAAAAUCGAUCUCGUUUCACAAAAAAAUAGCAUAAACGACCAAAAUCUCGCGAUAAUUGCGAAAUUUAAAUCUAUGGAUGUAAUUGUACAUAAAGAAGUAGCAUUUUUCUUAGUGAACUUUAGUUAUUACACUCCAAAUGAACCUAACAUAAAAAGAAGGGAGCGUAUUCUAUAAUACACGAAUAGUAUAAGUUUUGUGGAUCUACCUUCAAGCUUUCAACCUCAGCAGUCAAUGAAUCAACCUUCUCUGUAUCUUGAACUAAUACGGGGGUCUCUUUGAUGAUUGGAGGUGCCUCCUCAAUAGCUUUUCGAGCUGCCUCUUUUUCUGUGAUGACCCUGAGGUUUGCUUCUUCUAGUUGUAUUUGCAUAGCUUGUAACGUGUCAUGUAACUUGGCGAAUUCUUGAGAUUUUGCCUCCUCCAAAUCAGUCUGCAUAUACGAUGUAUUGAGUCCAUUCUAAUUAGUUUAGCGUCCUUAAAAGCCUAUAUAAUAUGACAUUGUAUUCUCCAUAACUUCUCUCAUGGCAGAGAAAGUGGCGUACACAUUGGACACAUCAUUAACAGAAUUUAUCUUGUAUCUUGGGAAUCCAUGUGCUUAACACUUUGUGGCAAUGUUAGACACUGACGUGUGGUCUGUCUCCUUUAUGAAAUUGAAAUACAAAUAGCAACAAAAAAUAUUAAAAUUAAAAUACGGUGUGCAUUACCCUUAAUCGCUUUUCUAAUUGCAAACGCCAUGUAAGCUCCUCCACUCUCUUUUCAAGUUUGUCUUUUGCUUCUUUAAGGGCUCCAGUUUCCCUUGCAGCCUGAACACAACAACAAUAACGCUUACUACUUGUCCAUAUUCCUAAAUCUGUAUCCCAGUAAAUUACAGAGUUAUGUGAUAAUUUCAGAAGGAUAGAUCAAACCAUCUUGAGAUUUCUCAGCUCUCUCCUGGCAACCCUCCGUCUCCAACCACACUGAGAUGUGAUUACUGCCUUUUGAAGGCUCUUAUAGUAUGUAUAAUCUCUGUGGCAACGCCAGUGAGCCUGAAAAUACAAAAAGUUGGAUCAACAACUUGCCGAAACCAGAUUUUGCAAACAUGCGCUAGUUUUUCAUCAAUGUAAAAAUUAUUAAGAGAAAGAAUAGUUUUACAUCAGAGCAACAAGUGAUACAGUAAAAUGGUUCGGAGCCAUUUUGUAAAGAAUCUGAAACAACAGAGCAGAUAUAUAACAACAGAUAACCCUACCUGAAUUAUGAUUGAGUACUUUGUUUGCUUCCUAAAUCUAAAUUCGUUGCGCGCAACCAUUGCCCUUAACCCAGUUUGCAAUGUGAUUGCAGAUGACCUCAGUGUUAAGUAAGAUCUCCUGGCAAUAUAUCGACGGAAAUUUUUCUGUACUUUCAUAGCUGCUGCUUCCCGCCUCAGCUUCUCGUACAAUUUACAGGCCAUUUUACCUACAAAAAUAUAGAAGCGUAUAAUAUGACUCAGUACUCUACUAGGGUAGUAAUAGGGAAGCUGAAGUAGUCAAUGCUAAAGAGUAUAAAAUCUUCGAUGAAGCUCAUGUUAAAAUUAGUAAAUUGUGAUGUAUGGGUCAAGAAAAAAAAACAUAAUCCUAUAUGUGUGGGCAAUAAUAUGGUAGAUGCUAACUACCACAGUACCAAAUAUUUUCCGGUCCCCUGAUCUAAACUGGACAUAAAAUAAAAGCAUAUGUUACUGGUCUAAAGUUUAAAUAGGAUGGAAAACUUCAUAGAGAGUGGUACAACAAUAAGCAAAUAAAUGCCUUCACUGUGAGAAUCAUGAAAGAUACCUCUACAACGAGAUUGCAAAUGUAUUGCAGCCUUGCGUAAUGAGACAAACUCCUUUCGAGCAAUAUAUGUACGUAUUUGUCUUUGAAUGGCUCUUGCAGCAUUGCCCAGUACUACAGCUCUUCGUGCAUCCAACUCAGCCAUCUGACCAGCUCUUAGAAAGACUUUCGUUUUGCCUAUCUGUCAUAUAAACCAUGGGGGGCAUGCAAAAUAAGAUAACUUCAAAAAACUUUCGUUUUGCCAACUGAAACAAUGAAUAAUUUUAAGAUUAUUACAUAAGUACAUAACCACAAUACAGAACUUCAUGAUUUGAAAAAGCAUAUUUACCUGAUACCCUUUUAAUCCCUUCUUAUCCAGAAUCAUUUGGCAUGCAACCAUUUCAUCAUGACUACACGAAGAAACAAAUUACUUUCAUUAGAAUUAAACAUUAACAGAAUCUUAUAUCUUAUCCCUACAAUAAAAUUCCACUUUCUCCGGAUAAGUACAUCAAUGCUUUUAAAGGUAUCUUAAGACUUACUUUCCUUCGAAAACUUCUGGAGCAAGGAGACCAAAACGAUUAAGAAACUCAUAAAAUGUUCGUCGGGUAGGAUAACCAGCGCAGCUAAUCCUAAUUGCCUCGAGAACACCCUAUAAGAAUGAAAGGGAUAACAAAAGAUAAUUGCUCAAAAUUUACUGAAGAAACAACUGAAAGGAUAAUGUAAUUGUAGUAAAACAAAAUAUACUUACACCACAACGUAAUUGUUGUAUGAUGUUGAAGUUUUCAAAGAUACCAGGCUUGAGAACAUUGUUCGGCUUCACACACCUAAUGUAAUGAGGUUCUGUUGUACUUAAAGUCUCCAUUAAAGAUUGAAGUUGCAGCUGCAAAACAUUGUUGCAAGUCAAAUGAUUUUGUAAUACAUAUGUUUAAUCUGCAUAAAUCAUUUUUCAACCAAACACAUUUGACUUCAGAAAUUUGCUUGUGGACAAGACCCAAUAUAGAAAGAUCCGUAUUGUCCUAGCUGUUGGUACAUGGUUCUUUCUCCCAUAUUCAACUAGCGCUUCAAAGAGAUCAGUGAAUCUAGAAAAAAGCAGUUGAGUUUGGCAAGAAUCUAUUCAAUGAGAGUAUUGAACGGAAACCAUAAUCUUAUCAAGCAAAUCAAACUACCAUCCACAUUUGCCAAGUUAAACUAUCAACCAAAUCAAAGCAUAAUCAUAGAAGCCUUCUACAACUAAGUGCCACAAUCUGUCCAAGCCAUCUAGAAAGCACAAGAUUAUGAAAUGACCAUGACCAUGGCCAUGUAAUAGAGAAACUGCACUUGAAAUUACUGUAUUGAAGACCACAUUUUGUUUUAGUUUUGCUAAGAAAUAGUGAAUAGUCAAGCGAAAGUCGAAACACUUCGAAAAAAGGGUCACAAUAAUAAUUUCUCAGUGUUUGAAGACCAGCUCCCAUUCAAUCCCAACCUUCUUGUGAAGUGCCUAUACAAACUAUUGCAAUGACAUCAAAGCUACAAGAUGUGAAAAAAUAUCCUUUAGACUGGGUUCCCAUAAAAAAAUUACUUGCAGCCACUUCUGAAAGUGAGCAAAAUUAUGUGUACACUGGAAAGUGAAGAGAAUAAAGCAAACUCCAACCAAAAACUUCACCUCCAUCGUAUCAGGGAACUCAAUCAAAAAACUAGCUAAGAAGAGGGGAACGAGAGCCAAAUACCUUAAAACGUGCCCCAAUAGAAGAAAAUUUGGAUGACUUCGAAGAUUCCUCUGGUGUGGGAGGAACCAGACCUGCCACAAAUGAGCACUUUGACGCAACCAAAAGUUCUUGAUGUUCUGCCACAACAUAAUCUUUGUUUUUGUCAAGAAACUGGUCUGCUUGAUAUGUUACCUGAAGAAUGUAUAAAAUGGUUAUAAGAAACAGAGCAAAUAAAAACAUAAAAGAACGAACAAAAACAUAGAAGUUAAAGUCAUGUAUACCUCCCCAGCAUAGUGAGAAAUAGUAAAGUCAGUGCGAGAAAGCUUUGGUUUCAAAAAGCGCUUGUUUUUUGUGAAUGUCUGAUACAACUUCUGGGCAAAUGUUUCAUGUGUAGACUUUGGAAACAUGCUGAAAAAAUAAAAAAAUAAAAAAUUCCAUGGUGCAUCAGAGCAAAUACACAAUAAUACCUUUCCAAUAAAGAAUGAACUGUCAUAGUUUAUGCACGAAACAAAAAAAAAAAUUGAGGAUUGCUAUUAGCCUAUUAGGCAACACAUCUUCAGAGUUUGCAUUAAUGUCACUCACUAAAACACACACAAAUGAUCUUCAGAGUUUGCAUUAAUGCCACUCACUAAAACACACACAAUGAGUUGAGACAACAAGACUUGUUCUUAAGCUUCCAAAUAAAAAGAAUCUCGAAACAUGUGUAUUUAGUGACUGGCAUUUUUAAGCAACUCAAAAAGUGUUAAGCUUACUACUCUCUCUUAGAAACUUCACUAUAUUUCCCUCAGUGCAAAGUCAAGAUCAAUUAAGAGCCAUAUGUUCAUACCAAGCUUCAUCCAGAAGUGCAAUGAUUCCUCCAGGUUUCUGCACAAUUAAUGAAGUAUUUAAUUGUCAUGUUAGAUCACAAUGCAAUAGUAUGAGGAGGUAACUACAUGUAAGCAAUAUAGCUUUAUAUAUACUAAUAAGAUUCUAUAGUUAUAACCUUCUCAAUGAGAUCCAACACAUCUUGAUUGUCAACGAACUCUAUGUAGCUCCAAUUAAUCUCUUCUUUAGUAUAUUCUUCUUGUUCCAUCUUAAAUACAUGCUGUCAACAUGAAACCAAUGUAAGCUAAAGUUGAAACUACAAGAAACUACAUGAAUUCCAUAACUGCAGGCAAAGUCAUCUCACCUGGUUGAAAUGUUGUUGUAGCUUCUCAUUUGUAAAAUUGAUACAGAACUGCUCAAAACUGUUAUCCACAACAAUGAGUAAAAAGAUCAUCAAAGCCCAGAUCUUUUAAUAUAUGUUGUUGAAAGUCUAACACACAGCUUCACUAAACUGGACAAUAUCUUACCUAUUACACUUAAAACUUUCGAAACCAUAGAUAUCAAGAACCCCAAUUAUUGAUUUUGAGUUCGGAUCCUGUCCAAUUGAAAUGUUGAUUUUGUCCACCAGCCUAUAACAGAGCAGAAACACAUCUAUAUGAGCAUAACUAAUAAAGAAGCACAAAGUAAAUGCUGUUUGUUAAAAAUUAAAUAUUCAAUGAAAGCAUUUAGAAUAAGAUUUUCUAGUUUUAAGGAUGUAGUAAUUUAUGUAUAAUUUAUAAUUCAACAUGGGUAAUCUAUGUAACAUGGACACUCCGUAUAGUCAAAAAAAUCUGUGUCGGAUACACGGACACUCGACACACGUGUCGGACACACAUGGACACUUGUCGGAUACACUUACAAACUUAUGCACAUGAUUCGGGUUAGAAUUUAUAUAUGAAGAAAAGGAAAGAGACGAGCAAGAAUUUAUCCCUCCAUCAAACUAGAUAGAAAAGAAAAGUGAGAAGAAGAAAUGUUAUGUUCUAUGUCUAAAAAAUGGGUUAUAUAUAAAUCACAAUCUGUAUCCCCGUGUUGACUGGUUUUUGGCACUCCGUACCUGUGUCGGACACCGACACAUGUACCCGUGUCAAUGUUACUUAGGUAAUAAUAUAGGAGAUUGCCAAAUAAAUCAUAUGUAUACCACAAGCUGUACCCAUAUUAUUACCUAGACAGAGAAGACAACCCUUCAUGUUAUAGUUAAUGCUGGUUCAUUGACUGCAAUUUAGUGGUAGCAAAUGUAAGGCUUUGAAAACAGAAUUUCGAAAGACAACUAUCUUCCCAUGUCGACUUAUUUCUUCCAAAUGAUUACCAACAAUCCAGCACAUGCUAACAUUAAAAUAUACCUCUAAAUAACUCCCUACACUUGUUAGUGAACUUUUCUAGGAAAAAACUAAUUUGUCAAAAGAGAAUUUCCCAUUCGAAUUUCAGAAUUUGGCUUGAAAUACCUAAAAUGUCACUAAUCAACGGGUUUUGAUUUUGGUCAAUCGUGAUAUAUCUGGAUAACUGGAUAUGUGUUAUCGACCUUUUUCCUCUUUUAAACAGAGAAGGCAAUAUCAUGGAACUAUGGAAAUUUUGCAGAUAUGUCAUGCCGGGUAUGUGAUUUUCUUACACGCUCAAUAUUUCAGCCCACAUUGUUACAACGAAUCUUACUAACUCAUCAAUUUAGGCACCAACAUAAAAAUAACUUUUAUUGACAAAAGAAAAGUACACUAGGCAUCUAAGAAAAUAAUAUUAUCAAUAUAAUAAUGAAAUACACUAGGCACCUAGAUGUUGUGUAGAAAAAUAAAGUGAACCCACACAUUGGGAUGCUAUUACCAAUCAAACAAACGAGAGUAUAUCGUUUUAGCUAAACCGUCUCUGCUAACAAUGGCAGAAGCAGGGUCAAGAGUUCUUGUAAUAACUUCCUCGGGUGUCACCAUUACACGUCUAAUAAGUGCAUCCUCCAAGCUUUGAGCAUCACACCUAACAAGUAACAACAAAACCAAAACAGGAUCUAAGAGACAACCACAGACAAAUAAAUGCAUUUGAUCAACUAGAAGAAGGAACCUACAUAAGAAGUUCAGCAGUCAUUUUAAGAUGGAACCUAGACUUGUCAUCCUUAAUGACAGAGGAGUCUAUUUCCUUUCCCUUCGCAAAAUCAAUAUUACCAAGAUGAAGAAUAGCAGCGACCACCCUGAAAAUUGCUUCCUGAAGACAACAAAGAUGGUAAGAAAAUGACUAACAUGGUGUGCAUAACAAACUUUAGAAAAAACAUAUACACCAUUUAGCAUUCAUAUGAAGGCUGACCUGUUCUUCUUCACUAAUUCCAACUACAUCCAUAGCCCGCCUUGUCGCUAGAUAUUCAUGGGCAUCAUUUACUCCAUCUAACUCGUAGCAAUUAGAUUGGUUCAGGUAAUGGAAUGAUUUCGGAUUCUCCAGCUUAUAUUUAUUGAUAUCCUGUGCAUUUUAGCCAUGGUUCAUAAAAAAAAUCAUGUUCGUUGAAUCAAAAAAAUGUAUGAGGAUAUACAUAAAAGAAUGAAUAAGAACAGUAGGAAAUAUAGAAUAUGAUAGGGCAUUGAUACCUCAGGUGGUGCUGCACAAAGAAGGUAAAAGCAAUGGUAGUUUCGCUCAGGAUCAGAAAUUUGGCAAACACGAGACCUUUCGAGCAAGUAGGUUCUAACAGCUGCCCCAGAUAUCCUCCCAUUCUUGUCAAAUUGUAUCUCAACAAAUUUACCAAAACGACUUCAUUGCCAUGUAAUGAUGUACACCAAAAGAAAGAAUAAAUAAGUUUCACAGAAAAAUAUAAUGAAUUAGAAUUAGUGCAACAGAGUAAUGAAAUAUACAUAACCAUUCAACUGAAAUAAUUAUUUAAGAUCUAGUAUCAAUUAGAACAUGAUGAGAACUGCUAUAGAACCAGAUAAGCUUCUACGAAAAGCCUUACCAAAGACAAAUACCCACCUUGAAUUGUUGUUCCUAACGGUCUUGGCAUUGCCAAAUGCUUCAAGAACUGGAUUGGACUGUCAUUUUGUAAGAGUAAUAUAUGUCAAAUUUGGUCAAUUCCAUUAUCUAGAAUGUGAAACCUAAGAGAAACCAGACAACUUCAUCUCACCUCUAGAACUUGCUGUUCAACUGUCCUUCCCUCAAUACCAGAUCUCCCUCCCAAGUAUGCAAGGUAUCUCAUCAGCAUCUUCGUCGUUUCUGUUUUACCAGCACCACUUUCUCCACUAACCAGAAUAGAAUUGCUUUUCCCUUCGUUAAUCAUCGCCCUAUUUUAAUAACGAAGAGCUUAGGAACGCAUUAAGACAAGCAUGAUUAGAUUAGAGACUACUAGUGAAAUGACCAGAAUUAACCUGUAUGCAACAUCUGCAACCGCAAAAACAUGAGGACUAAGCUCUCCGAAUGCUGCUCCUUUGUAUUGUUCCAUCAUGUGAUUGUCAUAGAGAUGUGGCAAUCUUUGAAAUGGAUUUACUGCAAUCAGGAUAUUACCAGUGUAUGUCUGUAUCAAUGAGAAAAAAAGUUAGUAUCAUGUGAUUAUCUGAGUCUCCCAGUAUUUUUCCUAUUCUAUCACAAGAAUAGAUCAAUGAAAAGUGGCUCACAUAAAUUUCAUUGAGCUCAUAUCUUGUGGCCAAAUUUUGCAGAACUCCAGGUUCAUGCAAAUAAGAAAGCUUUGUCAUGUCGUCCACGCCACCUGGUGGUGCCUCAGUGUCCUUCGGAAACACUUGUGACAAAUUUGCAACAACCUGAGAAAAAUGCCCAUUCAAUCAGAAUGGCUUCCUAUUGAUAAUUAAACAAAGAAACUAAGCAGAAAAAAUGUCCUGAAAUGAUGGAAUGGAUUUAUCAAAAUAAUUCCGGCUUAGGUUCAAGAUAUACGAAACACCAAAUACUGCAUAUGACUCAGUCUAUUUUUACUGUUGGUUGUUCUUAGUGUUACAGAUGCUCAUUUGAAAUACUUUGGAGAUUUGGACCCUCAUCAGCCAUGACCAAGACUACAUGAACUAUACAUAUGAUCAACGAAUUGAAGUACAUACACACCAGCACACACACACACACACACUAAAGGGCAGUCCUUGUUUAAAGGAAAUGCUUAAAUCAACAUAUGUAACAUUUUAGAAAAGGUAUGCAUUUUUCAUAACUGUUUAAUAUGUUACUACGUAUUUUCUGUAACUAAAUAUUUUCAUAGUUUUACUUAACUUCACAAAUGGUUUCUUACAAAAUUCAUGCUGAGCACUGCCUUUUUUUUUUUUUUUUGAAUAAUCAGCACUGGCUUUAAGUAAUAGUAAAAACUAAAAAGGGUGAGUUUUAAAGUGCUAAAUACAAGACAGAAAGCACACACCAUUUUCCCAUUUGUGGUGCGUAUAUGAACCUCUUGACUAUUGACCCGAAUAACUUCCCCAUCAAUCCAAGCCAAGACAGGAUCCUCAACCCAAACAUGGGAGCCUAUGACAAUGUUAACUGGAGCCGCCUGCAAAGAAAGUAUCAUCAGAAUUUAGAAGGUUAAUAAAAUACAGAACAUUUUAUUCAGAUAAGUAAGAGUUGACUAAUACAAGAAAUGAAAGGCAUAAAGUCAUUCGAAAUGAAAGGAGAAGGAAACGAGGAUUCAUAAUUAUUUUUUCCUGAUUAGGUAGAGGACAAACUUUCGCAUAAAGAAAUACCUAUACCCAGCAACACAACUGGAAGGAUCACUAGCGAGUAAAUCUCUCAUCAGUCACCCCCACCAUCCAUUACAGUGGUGCAACCAUUCAUAAAUGAAGUAGUAGAUAAAUUUACUCCUCAAAAUGCGUAGAAAUAGAAGAGUAUUGCUUAAACUGAUGCAUCACAUCCUAGAAAAGUACAACUCGAGCGCAUUUUAUGAACUCCUAGCAUCUCCUCUUCUUUACACAGCUAAUGUUAGAACUUAAAAGAUACCACAUGGUCAAUGACUACCAUAUAAUCAUGUAUGCCACAUGUUUCUACCAUAUAGAUGAGUCCCUCUCCAGUUCAGUAUCUUCAUGCCAUUUUUUCCACCUCAACUCCGUUCGUACGUCUGCUUUCUCUUAGAUUUCCAAUAUAGCAAUCAUCAUAUAAUUUUUUCCAUUUCGUUUGAAGCCUUCUUACUUUUCGCUCAUGGCUCUAAACUCUCAACUACAGAAUCCAUAUAACUUGUCCAGAGGUUUGUAGCACUUGUGUUGCUGGAGUGGGAAGUAAGCAGCCAUCUAUACCACUACAGGACUGUAUUUUGACCAUUUUAUUCAUUUUCACUUGUUAUUACUACGUUUACUUCAUCACAUAACUAUUUUCAGUAAUAUUCUCACCAAAAGCCCUUUCUAAAGUCUAAACAAUAGAAAUCAGUUAAAGGAUAAUAAGUUGCUUUCUUCAUGUCCGUUUUGUGUGUGUGCACGUAUGUCUCAUAUCUGUUGUAGUGAUGCUGGUAAAAGAAAUUAUAAUUCUGUCCCACAAACCUCAAACAAAGUUCAAAACACAUCUCUCCAAAAUCCUUGCAAACUCCAUGACAAUGUCACUAUCUUGGUUGAAACACAUGUUUUAGUUUUAUCGUUACACACUAAACUAAAAACUCUAUUGUCAACACUUGACUUCCCCCACAUACCCUGAAAUGUUUCUUCAAUUCCAUUAUCUGUUUCUCAAAAUCUCUUCCAUAAACUCUCUCUUCAAUAAAUUUAAUCUAAUUUGCACUACUUACAACAACAAAACCAAUCACCGCUUACUUAAAUUGAAAACUAAAAUAAACAAAAACACACAGUAAUAAAACUUCAAAGUUCAAACAACAAAUUGAAUAAAUUAAUCAAUCAACCAAAACUAAAGAAAUGAAUUAGGGUUUAAACUAAUUACCAUCAAGUGUUUAUGUAUUACAAAGAAGACGAUCUUCUUCUUUGUUCUUCUUCUUCUUGUUUAAACUUCUUCUGAAUCAUCAAACAAUCAGAACUCAAUAAAAGAAAACAAGAACUCAACUCAAUAACUCAGAUCGGAAACAAUAGAUUCAAAGCUAUUAACAAGAUUUGAAAGAAGACGAACAAGUUUGGGAAAUGUUUUUACAGGUAUAUAAGUUUGUUUGUUUGUUGUUUUCUCUCUCUCUUUCUUUCUUUCUUUUUCUCUCUCUUCGGUUUUUAUACAAAGAAGAAGUAAUUUGAAUAAACUCUUUUAGUUUAAGCUGUUGUUAUUUGUUGUUAAAUCUUCUCUGUAAACUGUGAUUUCUUUCUUUCUCUCUCUCUCUAAUUUCAAAGUUGUCUGUCUGGUCAAGUGGUGGUCAGCAACUCUUUUAAGCUGUUGUUGUUGUUGUUCAAAGUCUCUUUGUCUUCUAAAAGACGUGACGAGAAGAAGAGAAAAUGAAUUUUUAUUUACUAUUUUAAACUUGUUUUGAGUGUUAUUUACGUUAAAUACCAUUUGUAUUUUAAAAUUUUCAAAAUUUUAGUUCCGUUGUAUUUUUUUUUUUUUUUUUGGAUAAAUAAACGGAAAUAAGGAAAUUAUUUGGGUUUAAAUGUGUUAAUAGCAGUUUUGAUUCUCUGUUUGGCUUAAUGAAGUCUAAGACUCAAGAAUCUCACAUUUCUUUUUAGUGCUAAGUGUUAAUUUACAACUUGCGGCGAUAUGCCGCUAAUGGAUUCUGUGAUUGUAGUGUUUUUUAGCCCACAUUAUCAGUACCACAUAGCCCAACACUCCAACGAGCACCAUAAGUUGGAUGUGAUUAUUUAUUUUCCAUAUUCUAUCAUUAAUGGAAAACAUAAAAGGCAUGGCAUAGGUAGAAAAUGGCUUAAUGGAAAACAUAAAAGGCAUGGCAUAGGUAGAAAAUGGCUUUUAUGUCACUAAAGUUGUAAUUUGGAAAAAAAUGUGAAGAUUAUUUGGCGUUAGGAUGUUUACAGAACUGAGUUAGUAGCAUUUUUUAUUUUUUUUAACAAAAUAGGACAAACGGAAAUCCAUCAAAAACAUUGCUGGCGCGUUAUGUUUUUGCUAAAUUCUAGGAGUAAAUUAUGUAAGAAAUGAUCAGUACACAUGUAUCUAGCAAAAUACUUCUCAAACAAAUUGUAUCCAAUGAAUAUCUGCCAGCUUAGCUUAUCUAUGCUAACUAAAAUACAUCUGCUGUAGUUGAUCAACAUUUCCUACUUUAAGAAAUGAAGCUGGGUUGAUUUCGCACGUGUGGCCAAAGAACCAAAACUGCUCCGUUUUUCAAUACCCAGACACAAAUAUCCUCAGUUCCUCACCACACCAGAUUUUUGGAUGAGGGUAAUUUUGUCAUUGAUGAUAUAGCCUCACCAGUAGUUAUUACUGUACCUCCAAAUUACAAGGUAACAUCAAUGGUAUUGUUUACUAGAUACUUGACAAAUAAAGAAAGGAACCAACACAAUUGCACAAAGUUACAUAUACAACCUUCAACACCAGAGGCUUUUCGUUGUUAUUCCUCGAUCACCUUAUGAUUUCUCUAGCAUUUUUAACAGACUCCUCGACAUCAAGCCGAUACUGCUUUAAAAUUGCUUUCCAUGCUUCCUCAGAAUUUUGUUGGGCUUUUAUGUAGGCAAGCUCCUUCAAAUUUAUGUUAAAUUAUUAAAAAAAAAAAAAAGUUAAUGUAUAUUCACUUACUCGAAUAAUUAAGGAAUACAAUACCAAGCAACAUGCAAACAAAGCCAUCAGUAAAAACCUAAAUGAGUAACUUCACACGAAAUAGCCAAUACUGCCUUGAAGUUUCUUUCCAUGCUUCCUCAAACUUCUGUCUGGUGUAGGCAAGUUUCUUCAAAUUUACUGUAAAUGUAAGUAAAUUUGGGCAAAGGUUGGUCGAAGAAGAAGAUCGGAGAAUUGAGGGGGAGGAAUUGAAGUUAUGAAAAUGGCUGAGCUAUCUGAUCUAGAUAGUUGCCUACGUAUCUGAGAGUGACCAAGUCCCAGAAUCAAGCCUACGUAGUUCAUAUUUAUAGGUGAUUGGGACAACGGAUAGCUCAUUAAUUGCCCAACGGUGUGGUCAAUUAAUGGGCGGAUAUUGUGGAUCUGAAAAUAUAUUGUAACUGAAGAGAAUAAGUGUGUGGAGUAAGGGUGAGCUCGGAGUGAGGUCGAGCAGGAUAAGCCCCAGCUCGAGUGAGCUCGAGCAAAAGGGUGUUCACGUCGUUUGACGACGAAUGAAUAAAGAAUCUAAGCCGGGUCAUGAAGGUUUUAGUGAGCUCGAGGUGAAGUCGAGUAAAAAGGUGUUCACCUCGUUUGACGUCGAAGGUGUAUAAAUUGUGUUCAAAGUGGUCGCUUAAGUGAGCUCGAGGGAGCUCGAAUACAUAGGUAUAUACAUUUACCUUCAAUUAUUAAGAAAAGUAGGUCAUGUAUAACCCGAUAAGGAACACAAUACCAAGCAACAGUAAAAAAAAAAAGUCGAUAAAAACUUGAAUAUGUAACUUCACAGGAGACAACAAAAUUUCCUGGUAAUCAAAAGCGGAAAAAUGAUUGAUUUUAAGCUCCAAUGUCUGCAUUUCAUCAAGAACUUGCAUGAUCUGUGUUUUCAAGUUUUAAGUGCUACAGUACAAAAAAAAAAGGAUGUGAGAUCAAAAUUUGAACGAUGUGUAUCACAAUCUAACUCCUCCCUACUGAUCAAACUAGGACAGAAAACCCACCUCUAAUUUGUUACGUUCACCCAACACCUUCACUGUUUUUUUUUAUGCGAUUGUCAAUUUGUUUCAAUACAUAUUAUAUCUCAAUACACGUACACAUAGAGCAAGGAAAAAAAAUGCAUAUAAGACAUUUCUUCUCAAUAGUUUAACCAAAUGAGUCACUAUAGUUUUCUACUUGACGAUAUAUAGGGGGCGAUAACGCGUUACUUUCAAAAGCUCAACUAUAUAACAUCGAUCUCUUCAAAAAAAAAUUACCUCGACUCUCAAGAUACCUAUAGACAUACAGUAAAUAAAAUUUGUCAAAUCAUUUGUUGUAUGUUUGCAUAGUUGGUUCUUUUGCUAUAGGCCAUGCAACAAAUUUAAUAUGAGUAAAAAGGUUAAAUAAAGAUGAGAAAAAAGAUUUGUCAGGAUCGAAAUCAUUGAGAAAGUAUCAACUGAUGUGAUACAUAUACCUCCAAUAAUUUAAAAAGAAAAAAAGAAAAAAAAUCAAACAAUGAUAAACCAUCAAAUAUAAAAACAAAAAAAAAACGAAGAAAAAUUUAUUCUUCCAUAUAACAGGAAAAAAAAACUCAUUAGAUUGAGAAAAGAAGAUAUAUUAGAAAACAUAUAUUUGGAGAGGUAUAUUUGGUGAGGGGAAUGAUGGGGGAGGGCUCAUUAAAAAAAUAAAAAAUGAGAGGAUUAUUUAUAAUUAAAUAGGGGUUACAAAUAAAUAUGAUCUAUUAAUAAAUAAGGGUUACACUAACUAACCAACUCUUGUAAAUAAGGGUUACAAAUCUAUUAAUAAAUAUGCCCAUUUAUUAUUGGUAUUCAUUUUUGUAAUUAAUAUUACAUAAGAUUCUCUCCAUCCUAUGGCUACAAUUGUCUUAACAGACAACUAAAGGAUAGGAUCGAUUUUCCACAUCUAAAAGUUAUUAUUACAUCGAUUAUAUAAUUUAAUAUACAUCCAAUGGUUAAAGUUAUCUCCAUAGACAUCUAACGACUGUGUUUAUGAAACCGCUUUGUAAUAUUAUAUAGAUAGAUAGAUUGAAUGGUGUUAUGGUGGUCUGUCAUAUGAAGUUAUGAACUAUUGUUGUUGAACACUUUGAACGUUUCCUACUACUGGAAUUGGUACGUGUAACAUUGGAGACUGGAGAGGACUUUUUAAUGCGAGGAGGUGAACUUGCGCCGAAAUAAGAAAAUCCACGAGUAAUGAGCUGAUGGCUUGAAAUGAGUGUCAUGGGCCUUUCACAUUGUUUUAGCCCAACACUUUUUUUUGCCAAGUAAAUAUGUUGUGGUAAGCCUGUUUUUAAUGAGAUCGGUAACUCGGUAAUGCUGACGGGAUUCAAACCCCAGACUUCUGGUAUCAUCACCCAAAGGUUUUACCAGUUUAGCACACGGGUGCAAUGGAACCUGCAGGUUUUACAUACUGUUCUCUCUCUCUCUUUCUUCACGCGGUAAUGUUCCCAGUCAGUACUCAAUAGAUCUAGGUCCUGACGACCAUAACACCUGCCGGAAACAGUGACUGGCCGGAGAAGGAACUUGGUCCUUUCUGUAACACUGUAUUAUCACUAUUAUGUUUGACGAAGUUUAUCAGAAAAAAAUUAAAAAUUUCUCUUCAAUCGUUUUAAUGUUCACCCAAUAAUCUUAAGUGACGUCUGUCAAGUUUAGGUCUUUAAUCAACUCUUUUUUUUCCCGUCCUUAAACUAAUUAUUCAGGUCAAAUUUAGCCAAACCCACUCAUGAAGCACAGCGAGAAGAGUUUUUAAUGUAAUAGUGGUUACAUCUCACUGUCACAUGGUUAGUGUUAAUCAGAAGAGAUAUAUUGGAAAGAGAUCAAUCUCAUCAAAUGAGCAAAAUAACUUUUAAUAUAAAUAUUUUAAGAUUACGAUGAUCAACCAAUUUUAUUCUGUUAUUUUCAGGCAAAAUAGUGACCCUAGAAGUGGAUUUGAUACAGUUAAAGACCUACCCGGCUACCCGGCCGGGGGAUUAACGCCCAUGCUUGGUGAUAGAAAGGUCAGUCUCUCUUCUCUCUCUCUCUCUCACACACACACACAUUAGAAAGCUCAUGACGUGAUCUAACUGUCUUUCUUUUGGUCUUUGAGGAUGUUCUCAUGGAGACGAACCAUUAAUUUUAACAAAACUCGACACUUGUCUAUAAUUAGUUAUUUUGCUCUGGUCUUUCCCUGUGUGGUCUUUAGGGUGUUUGACAUUGUCAGAACUUAAAAUUAUUUUUGGCACAGUUUUUGUAGGUUUUCUUAACGUAACACUGAGUUCAAUAAUAGUGUAUUAUUGGUGCUCUCGUAUCUUUAUCAGAAAAGUGCGACAAGUAUUUUACUUUGCAUUGAUUCUUAACGUAACAUUCCAUAUCUGGCAAUUUUGGUGUUUUAAAUCAAGGUGCAAAGGAAGGUGUUUUUCCAGUCUAAUUUGAAUGCUAUGAAGUAGAAAACAGGAGGAAUGACUCCGUGAGUCCUUGGGUAGAGGAAAAAGUGAACAGGCCGGGAAGAAACAUGCCUCGUGAAUUAGAAAUUUUAAAAGAAAAAAAAAUGAAGCUAUUCAUGAUUCAAUGGAACAUCCCUUGAAGAUUAUACAAUUUUCACUAAGAAAUUUUUACUUUUUUUUUGGUAAUCAUGAGGAAAUUUAUUCUUAUACGAUUUCAACUUGUCUGUAAGAAUAGGUAAAAUUUGCAGCAAUCGUCCAUUCACCUCAUAGGACUAGGAGCUUGAUUGGCACACUACAAAAUUUGGAAGAAUAAGGUCUUCUAUCCAACAAUUAACAAAUUUUUUCCCCAGUGGAACAUACAUGUUUUCCCCUAGUAACAAGUACUAAGCCUAUUUAGACUCAACUUGGACUGGAGUCUUGUUUGAGACUAAUUUGAAUGACAGUUUGCUUUGAUACUGCUAAGUCUUUAACCACUGCUUCGCGAAAAGCUAAGCUCAUAAUUGUUUAUGAGCGGAAACUACAGUAUGUCAGUGUCGCUUAAUGUUGAUAUCACAACGAGGUUUCCAUUACUGAUGGUGGAGCACCUGUGAUUGCCUACUGCAUCCAAGUAGCCUGCUGCUUAUUUAUUUUUAUUUUUCAUGAAGUUAUAAGAUAUAUAUACUGUUCUCAAAAAAAAUUAUUUUAUUUACAACCUGUCGCAAUGUUGUAACUACAAAGGUAUAAUAGAUACAGAAAAGGCUUUGUACACUAUAUUUAGUGCCAAGUAAUUUCACCUUCCUCAAGAUCUGCAUUGUCGUUUUCCAGAUUGAUUUCACCUUCCUCAAGAUCUGCAUUGUCGUUUUCCAGAUUGACAUUGGCACUGCAGUUCUCCACUUCAACAACCUGACUGCAGGUUUCAAGUUCCUCCUGGUCUUCCAGAUAUUCAUCUUUCAUGAACAGACCUAAUCUUUCCAAAGUAUUAUCAUUGUGAACUAGAAAAUAAUCUCGUUCUGAACAUGCCCCCAGCAUCUCAAGAUCUUUCCAAAUUCCCCAGUUUUCAUAAAUUUCCACAGUCCUCUCCAUCUUCUGCAGUGCAAUACGAGCUGCUUCUCUCUCCCUCUCCCGCUGCAUCUUCGAUUCCAUCUCUUCUCUCAUUCUGGAGGCAGCUUCAGCAGCUCGAAUUUGGGCUUCAAUUCUUGCUUGCUCUUCACGUUGUUGCUUUUCCAAUCUUUCCUUUUCUCCCUUCAUCAUUACUGGAUCACUCUUCCCACCAUUGUUCAAGAGAAUUUUGUGUUGUGCCUUUACAAUGGUGUCAGCAAACCGGCUCCUCAACAUUGCAGCACGGAGAGCCUUGCUUGGAGAUAAAUGUCCAUUACAUAGACUAUUUUUCCACCCUUCAUCCAAAGCAGCAUCAUUGCAAGGAGUUGAAGAAGGAGAACUAGGAUGACAAUUGUCUUCAUCAAUGACACAAACAUCACUGCUUGAGAAGCUGUUCUGAUGACCGACACGGGUAUACGUGCUUUUGCAAGAACCAUUCAAGCAUGCAGAACUCGUCCUUGACUUGUAACUGACAGAAACAGAUGCAUGUCUAGUACUAUCACCAAUUCCUCCAUGGGGGUACUUCUGUGAAGAGUUCUGUCCACUACUGUGUUGUGUAUGAGCAGAUUCUACAGGUCUUGAAUGAUGGCAACUCCUCAUGACUUUUUGCAGCUUUGCUUGUGUUGUAUGACUAUCUUGUUUCAUAUUGAGAGUUGUACUUGAGCUUUCAUCAGAAUUCAGCUGCUGUGUAGACUUAUUGGAGUCGAGAACCUUCCACUUUGAUUCAAAUAAUUCACUCAAUUCCUUUGCAACAACAUGAAAAUAGUUCGCUGGAGGAUUAUAUAACAUUGCAUUGUUAAAAGUUAAUCUGACAUCCGCCGCAAAUUCUCCAGUCUUCAUGUAUAGCUUUUUUUCCAAUUUGGAUUUAAUUGUACCCAAAUCCAUUGGUUCAGAGAUAAAAGAAAAGUAAUCUGGAAUAUUCAUUGCAACUGGAUCAACAGGAUUUCUAAAACCCCAAGCACGCCUAUCGUUUAUCAACUUGUUCAAAAGUGCCAAACAAUGCACCAUCACCUUACUGUCUAUCUUUUGCUUCUUAUUAACCUGUUGGGUUUCCAACUUUGUUACAGGUCCACGCUUGUUACUAGAAUGCGAAACAGAAGGUUCCAUAGAAAAAACGUUUUUCACAUAAGAGGAAAAAACCACAUUUGAUCUAUCUAGUUCUGAAGAAAGGAUUUCAGUUUCUGAACAUACCUUAAUCUUAAGUGAGGGUUGUUGCUGCAAUAACUUCAGUGAUGAUGAACAUGAACUGUUCAUACUUAUCGAUCGACUUGCAGUUGCAGAGACCAUAAUGGUUCACUUCUUUAGACACAACAACAACAACAACAAAGAAAUUGAAGAAACAGAUCUUCUGAGUGAAAAGUGAGAGAAACCAAGAGAUAUUAUAUAGAGAGAUGUGUUGUAGUAGUAGAAGAAGAAGAAGAGGAGAGUGAUUACCCUGUUCUGUUUCUAAAUUGAGAAGGUAGGGGUAUAAUCGGUAUUAAAUUAUUUAUGAUAUCCGAAUCUAAAUCGGUUUCUUAUAUCGGUUUCCUAUAUCGGUAUCACCAUAUCGGAUUGUUGUUUUAUAAAUUUAUGCAAAAUGUAAUUAAGGCGGUUCUCUUUCUUCUUUUUCUUUUUGAUUUGAUUACUUAUUCUCUUUGGUUUAAUCUAAAACCCUAAUUCCAGAAAACAAAAGAAUGGCGACAGAAGAAGCAAUCAUGGCGGUAAUUAAAGCAUCUCGCCCAACUUUUCGUAAUCCACAUGAUAAGAUCGUUUUCGCUCUUCACUCAACUUUCCUUGCUUCGGGAUACUCACUUGUAGCUACUGGACUGCCAGCUUUUUCUGAAACUGUCUUCUCCUCUCCUCCUGAAGGUAUAUCUAUGAUUUAUCAACUCUUUUUCUUCAUAAACUAGUUGUUGUUAUAAAGAUUGAAGUUUGAAAUGGGAUUUUUUUUUUUUUUGUGGAUUUUUGUAGAGGAAGUAGGAAUUGAUGGUUGGAAUGAAACUGAAGAUGGUUAUGGCUUUGUAUAUACCAAGAAGGAAAAGGGUUUGAAGAAUACUGUGAUAUUGAAGUGUUUGAUGAUGGGAGAUAACUUGAUAAUUGAUGCUUUAUCUACUAAGACUCAAGAUAAGGAACCUAGUAGUCUUCAGAUCAAGUGAAUUACCUUUCACUAUUGUUCAGCUAUUUGAUCCCUAUAAGAUGAAUUUUAAGAAUAAAUUAUUUGUAUGGAUUUUGUAAAGGGGUUUUUGAUGAUAUGAUUCAAUUGGGGUUUGGUUCUUGCAGUGUUAAUAGCUAUGAUGGAGGAAAUGAAAGCACAAACUUUGGUGAUCGGUAUAAGGAUUUUACAAAGCUUGUGAAGGCUUUCAAGUCGGAAAUUCUGGAUAAAGUGGAGGACAAUCCUGCAGUGAAAAGCACUUCUGCAUCGUCUAGGUAUAUUAUAUAGUACUAGUUCUUUUGAUAUUGUAUACUAUGGAAGUAGUUGGUAGCAGUGGUGUCUAGUAGUGGUUGUUGGUUUAUUACCUCAAAACGGCGUUUGUCCAUUUUGAUAAAAAUUUAAAUAUAAAUGUAGCUGGCAUUUUGUGUAUGAGUAUUUAAAUUUGAUUUCUUAUGUUCAGUUAAUGCAAGUUUUAAUUAGAUGGCUAGUGAACUAUAAAACACUGACGGUAUUAGGGGACAGUGUUUGGAUGACUGGUGCUUUAUCAUGAUGUGAUGCUUCAUGUGAUCUAAAUUCUUCUUUCUAGUAUGUGGCAGGGCUUCAGUAUCCUUGCUGUUUCUUACUUAAAAGACGUGUGAAUUAUGAACUGAUUUUAAAACUAGACCUGUCAAGUGUCAACAUACCCAACAGUUUGAGGCGUUUGAUACAUUGACUCGAAUAGAUGUAGGAUGGUUUAGUCAAAGUACUCUAGGAAGCACCCAAGCACAAUUAAAGUGUCCAGUUGAAUGUUUAAAUGUUCUAUUAGUUUCAAGAAGAUCCUAGUUGUCCAUUAAUCUGGUCUCUAAAUGUGAUGAUCCGAAACCGCUAUACAAAACUAUUUCAUUUUACAAUCGGAUGUUAUGUUUAUCUUUGUAGAACGGUUAUACGGUGGGGACCGACUUUUAGUUUGUGUUUUUUUUUUUUGUAUAUAUGUUCUUUUAACAAGAAAAUGUGGUGAAAAUUAAUAAACUCUUCUAGACAUUUUAAAUUAAAAGUCUGAUCCGCCUAUACUGUAAAGUAUGUCGUCAGAUAAGCAUGUUUGCUGAGAGGUGAAUCAGGUUUUCACUAUGCACGUCUAAAACCAAAUAAAAAGAUUACAAGAUAUAACAAACAGUAAGUUUCUCACGGCAGCAGCAGCAUGUCCCAGUUUGCCAGCACUUUUUCUGAAACUGUACUCCUUGUAUAUGCUAGAACCACCUAUGUAGAAGACUAGAACCAUAGAAGAGCCUUGACUUGAUCACAGACUUUGUCAAGUCUAAGCUGAAAAUGCUCGGAAAAUGGCGUCAUAAAAGAACUUGUGACCGUUAGGGUUGAUCUUAUUCUGGCAGUCCCUAAGCAAGAAAGAGUGCAUGUUCAGGUUGUCUGGGUGACUACCAAAAGGAGCUAGUACUUGAACCUCACUAAGCAAUGUUAUUCAUCCAGUGAGUGAAAUUUUUACACUGAAGCACUUCUAAUAUCCUGGAAAUCUUAAGGACACCUUUACAGGAUGGUUGUUUGAGGCUUUAGAUACAUUGACUCAAAUAGAUGUAGGAUGUUUUAGUCAAAGUACUCUAGGAGCACUAUUUGUGAAUGACAUUAGAUGUUCUGCUGUUUAUAUUUGAUAUAUAAUUGAUUAUAUAUUUAUAUGUAAGUGGCAAUUUUGAGAAUGUGGAACAUUUUAUUUUCGUCGUUAAGCCAUAGUGUGAGUUGUUUUCAACACCUUUAUGAUGAGAAAAUGGUGCGGUGUUCAUCAGGAUGUAAUCCGUAGCCUAGUGUGGUAUUGGCUUAUAGAAGAGGCAAGAAAACAUACUAUAAAGCCUGUUGAAGAUGCCUUCCCUAUUUUAAGGCACCUAAUUAUGUUGAAGAUCCCUUUCCUUCCAGGAGGGACAUUUAAGUCCUAAGAUUUGCUCUAUACUAUUGAGGUCAGAACUCAUGUUACCCAUGUGCCUGGCUAUUUGGUUGCCAGACAAUAGAACCCAAAGAUAGUAAUCGAGCUGAACUCAUUUUACCACUAAAUACAACAGGCUCAUCAAUGUAAUGUUGUGUCUAACCAGUUCCUUUAUCUGCAAAGUAGCCAUCUGUUUUUAUGGUGCCCUUUGGUGGAGGCUCCCAUAUAAUAAUAUUAACCUUAUCUGAUUUGCUCAUUUAGUGAACCCAUACAACUUGAAAAUUUGAUACUUUUUUCAUAACUAUAUAUGAGGCGUACGAAACUAAGUAAGAUAUAUGUGAAAUUUGGUGCUGCUUCUGAAUGUGAUUUAGUUGAUAUCUUUAUUUGACCAAAUGUUUGUGUUUUGGCAGGCCCGAACAGGAACGGAAUCAGAAUCGACCUGAGCAUGACAUUUAUGAACCAUAUUCUCCUUCGGGGUAAAUCAUUUCCUCUCCUAGCUAAUGUUUUUAUAUUAUUCCCUUUUCUGGUGGAAACACACACGUGUACCAAAUAUUUUGAUGUUUAUACCUUUGUAUGUUUGCAAGCUCCUCACUAUCUAUGCUUAUAUGAGUUUACACUUUACAUGCUAUCUUAUCUCGUGUUCAUUUAUCCCAACUUUCUAAAAUUACUUCCAUUGGAAAUUUGGUUGCGAAUUAGUGUUUUGUCAUGUCCAGUAAUGCGUAGUUACUUCACCCCCUUUCAUAUUGAUGGAAUGUGCUUUGCAAGUCAACUAAAUGAACAACAAUGUUCUUGAUUUGGCAAAAUGGCUGAAUAACAAUUCACAGUGCUUUUAAGUCUGCGAGUGAAGGCACAAUCUGACAGGAGUUAUCAAAACUUUAAGCAUUUUCUGGACUUUGCAGCAACACUGUUUUCAAAUCAGGCUUAAAUAUGCCUAUUGCAAUAUUUAUAGAUUUCUUUGAAGUGGUUCAUAGAUUUCAAAUCAGGCUUAAAUUUGAAGUGGUUCAUAGUUGCUUUUGCAUAAUUACAUCCCAUUUUAAAAAUAACAUUAUUCCAUUGCAGCUCUAUAACCAAAAUAAACCUAAAAUCACAUCACACGUAAAGUACAUCUCUAGGAUGCUUUUGGUAUUGCAGACGGAUGUAUAAUCUUGAGCAUCUUCUAUGUAAAUGCGUUUUUCUGUUGUCAAUUAGUAGUUAUUAUUUUUGUGGUUCACUUAUUUGUUUUGUCUGGGUGUGUUAGUUUUGAUCUCCCUCCUGUGGCGCCUUUCCCUUACAGUGAUAGAAUCCCACUGCCCCCACCUGGAACACAUCCCAGGUUUUUCUCUUGGCUUGUAUUCAUUAAGUAUACGUCAGUUGGAAACUGGAAAGUUUAAGCUAACUGUUUUCGUUUACAUUAUCUUACAGGGGAGGUCCUGACAUUGGUGGGCCCAUGCAUAUAGGUAUAUGAUUCUUCAUCUCUGUUUUCCUUUUUUUCAUUGUUUUACAUACUAAAUUCAGGUGGCUCAUCAUUUUUUCGUGUUGUGAAAACAGGGCCUAAUGAUCCACGCUGGCUUUUACCUGGUGGUGGUCGUCCUGGUUUCCCAGAUAUCCCUUCGUAAGUCCUGAAUUGAAGUUUGAUAUUUUUUUUUAUUCGAUCUUGAUGACUGAAACUACCCGCGUAGUCACGUAGAUGUCUUAUGUUAUAUCCUUAAGGACAGAAGGCCGUCCCACAGUGAAGCAGGUUAUUCUGCCUGCUUGACGUCACUUUCAACUCUAUUGAUCAAUAGACAAUAGUCAAUUUUCUAUUGAUAAAACCACGUGUCCUGCCCUAUUCGGUAACACCUACUUGUACCUUCACAUGUCUGAAACUCUUAAUGGUUUUUUAACUUCUAUAUAUACUUAAAAACUAAAUGGGUCCCACAGACUAAUUAAGGUGGGUGUAGCGUGUGUAAAUGAGUCAAGCUUUGUAAGUUACCAGAAUGGUAAAAGUCUUCCACUAAACAUGGGGAAGAUACUGUAAAUGGGAUCCACAGACUAAUUAAGGCAUGUGUAGCAUAUUUAAAGGUGUAAACAAGUCAAGCUUUGUUAGUUAACCACAAUGUUUAAUGGAAAAGUCUGUUUCUAAUGUAAGUUACCUAUGUGCAUUCCAUUAGUAUCUUAUAAUCCUGUGCAUAUUUGAACAGGGGCGUACCUCCAGGUGGUCGCUUUGAUCCCUUUGGCCCUCCUGGUGUUCCUGGUUUUGAACCUAACCGUUUUGGAAGGUAGUUCUCUAAUUCGUACAUUAUCUUCUGGUUCAAAAAGUUAAAUGGUGAAAAGAUUGGAAACGACACACAAGAUUGCAUAACAAUUAUAUCAAUGAAAGAAGUACUUGCUUAGUUCUACUUUUGUGAUGCUGACUAUAAGACUAUAUCAUGAUACACUACUUAUAAAGUAAGCAUGGUUCUGAUUUAACACUCAAAUUCCAUGAUUCUAAUCAUCUAAUGUGGUGUGCAAAACUUAUUUAAAUGGUUUUUUAUCUUUGAAGCAUAGAAUCUUUAUUUUGAUACUGCCAAAAGGAAAAAAGUUAGAUUGACAAGUGUAGGGUUCUUAAGACCAUGGCAACAGAGACUUCAAAACUUUUCAGCGACGCUGUUCUUAUAGUAGUGUCUAAAUUAGGCAUGGCAGUUCAUCUUCCAUUUUACAUCACUGUGUAUAUAUCGUGGUCCUUUAAAUCUGUUGCUUCACAGUUGUAAAGUACGGCAAUAAGGAGAUAAGAUGAUGAUUUGGGUAUUUGGAAAAUGGACAUGUUUAUAUUGUCUUGAAAUGUUCUGGCCUACACAACCUCUUCUUUAUUUGGUAUCGUGAUGUUGCUGCAGCUUUUUCCCAGUUCAUUUUUAUAUAUUUUCUCUUGAUUGUCUUUUUUGUAGAAAUCGACCUAGGCCCGGUACUCAUCCUGAUUUGCAACCAUUUGGAAACCCGGAUGAUUAUAUCUAGUGGAGGCACUGGUUCUUGAGGGAUCCUAUUUUAGUUUUGUUCCUUUAGUCUGGAGUUAAAAUAUUUUUGUAAAGUUGUAUUUUUCAUUUUAUAUGUAAAUUUGUAAUGGCUGAACCUGAGAGCCACAUCCGAGACCAUCCGACAAUGCCCUUCACCAUCUGUUGUUUUUUGUACAUUAGUUCUAUGUGUAAUGAUUACAACCAAAACUACUUUUAAAUAAUGGUUUAGCCGUUUAGGCACUUCUGCAUGCAAUGGGUAUGUUUAAUACAAUGGUGCUUGGUCUUGUGAUGAGAUUCAGUGGAUGAACUUGUCUGAUCAAGGAAAAUCAUUUUGGGGAACUACUUUAGUUAUUAAAACGACAGUCCUGAAUGACAAAUGUAUCCAGGCCAGCUUGUGCAUUUUUGAUUGUGGAAGAUAUUUUGGAGAGGAUAUUACAGCACAUAUCAAAUGAGUAUCUUUGGUUUUGAUUGGCAGUCAAUGUAACUUGUGUGAUAUCUAUCAGAUAGGUACCAUGUCUUUUGUAUAAUCCAUUUUAACAGUAUACGGACAAGAGGAGUAUUUUAUAUGAAUGAUUAUACCUAUGGGUCGCAUUUACAUGAUACGGAGCCCUUUUCCCAAUCUUUAUAUACAUACUUUGAUUUUGUAUUAGUCCGUAACGAUGUAUGGGAGACUGGGAGUGCAGGUUGUGCCAGGAGAUCUGGAAAAUUGGACUCCCACUAGAACUUUAUUGCGUUGCUAAUGAAGAGCCUUGUUGUAUGGAAAUUGGACUUCCACUUAAAAGUAAGUUGUAGAAUUCUACAAAUAAACGAGGCAUUGGAGAAAAUUAAAUAUUGGUCAUAUUUCUUAAAUUUUAGAAGGUAUACUGGUGGUAUGGGUUUAGAAAAAGGAGGAAUGAGGCACCAUAAGAGCAUCUCUAAUGGGUCUCUUAUAUCUAAUCUAUCCCUAACCAACGUGGAACUAUUUUAUUUUUAUUUUUUUGUUCCGAGCCCUAAACCCUAAACCAAGCCCAACCAAACGAAGCCCAGCAAAAAAAAAAAACUUCCACGCUGAACCAGCGUGGAAGAUAGAAUUAUACCAAAAAAAAACCAUGCGCGUUAGGGAUACCCCUGAUAUAGGUUUGGACGACGUGCUAAAUUUUUUUUUAAGAAAGUACGUGGCACCUAUGUGGAGGCCAUAACUGUCUAUGUGUCGUCCAAAUAUAUGAGACCCAUUAGAGAUGCUCUAAAGUAAAUUGGAGGAAUGAGGCACCAUAAAGUAGAUUGGGGAAUAAUUAUAUGAGAUUUUUGGACAUACCCCCAUUUAAAAGUCGAAAUUUGAGAUAUCCCUAUUUAAAAAAAAAAUUGAGAUACCCCAUUUCAAGACAGAAGAGCUUUACGGCCGUAGGUGAGUUUUAUGAUGGACAUAACACCCCCCCCCCCCCCCACACACACACACUUUUUUUUUUGUGGCAAGAUAUGGGGAGAGUAUUGUUCCGCAUUCUUUGAAGAGUGUGGAACAAAUUCGCACUCUAGCUUUUACCCUCGAUAUAAUAGGUGUCGAAUUUGUGUGUCAUUUUUUUGAAAAGUCUUACAAUUUAUAUAUGCUCAUAUGCUGGUCAUGGACUGGAUGUCUGGAUGACUCAUGGUCACCUGAUCCGAAAUACCGACCUACUACUUGAUUCACCUGGGCAUAAAAGAAAGCCUAAAACCCUUUCCUCUCUUUCCUUCCCACUCUCUUCUUUCUCAGCAACAACAACAAACAACAACUAUCAAUCAUGGCCGCGUGUUCUCUUUUCCAAGCUUCUCCUUCUUCAUUCAUUUCAUCCAAAUCCAAAUCUUUCUCACAAAACCCUAAAUCCCCAAACCACUUAUUCUCCAUUAAAGCUUGCAAUUCAUCUUCAUCUUCAUCUUCAUCUUCAACUCAAUCUACAUCUCCACCAUCACCACAUCGUCGUCCUGCUGAUGAAAACAUACGAGAAGAAGCUCGUCGUCAUAGAUCUUCUAACCAUAAUCAUGGUUUUUCAGCUAAGUAUGUUCCUUUUAAUGCAGAUCCAACUUCAACUGAAUCAUAUUCACUUGAUGAAAUUGUUUAUCGAAGUCGUUCAGGUGGUUUAUUAGAUGUUGAACAUGAUAUGGAAGCAUUGAAGAAAUUUGAUGGACAAUAUUGGAAAAGUUUAUUUGAUUCACGUAUUGGGAAAACUACUUGGCCUUAUGGAUCUGGUGUUUGGAGUAAGAAAGAAUGGGUUUUACCUCAAAUUGAUGAUGAUCAUAUUGUUAGUGCAUUUGAAGGUAAUUCUAAUUUAUUUUGGGCUGAAAGAUUUGGUAAAGAUAUAUUAGGUAUGAAUGAUUUGUGGGUUAAACAUUGCGGGAUUAGUCAUACUGGUAGUUUUAAAGAUUUGGGUAUGACUGUUUUAGUUAGUCAAGUCAAUCGUUUGCGUAAAAUGAAUCGUCCUAUUGUUGGUGUUGGUUGCGCUUCCACUGGGGAUACUUCUGCUGCACUUUCUGCUUAUUGUGCUGCUGCUGGGAUACCUGCUAUUGUAUUUCUUCCUGCUGAUCGAAUUUCAAUGGCGCAGUUGGUGCAACCGAUUGCAAAUGGGGCAUUUGUUUUGAGUCUGGAUACGGAUUUUGAUGGGUGUAUGCAGUUGAUUCGAGAGAUUACAGCUGAGUUACCUAUAUAUCUUGCAAAUUCUUUGAAUAGUUUGAGGCUUGAAGGGCAGAAAACGGCUGCAAUUGAGAUUUUGCAGCAGUUUGAUUGGGAAGUUCCGGAUUGGGUUAUUGUUCCUGGAGGAAACCUUGGGAAUAUUUAUGCUUUCUACAAGGGUUUUCAUAUGUGCAAAGAAUUAGGACUUGUUGAUCGCAUUCCACGACUUGUUUGUGCUCAAGCUGCGAAUGCGAAUCCACUUUACCUCCAUUUCAAGUCUGGAUUUGCUGACUUCAAAUCUGUAAAGGCUAAUACCACUUUUGCGUCUGCAAUACAGAUUGGUGAUCCGGUUUCAAUAGAUAGAGCUGUUUUUGCUCUUCAAAACUCAAAUGGUAUUGUUGAGGAGGCGACUGAGGAGGAGCUUAUGGAUGCAAUGACUCAAGCAGAUCUCAGUGGGAUGUUUACUUGCCCUCAUACAGGUGUUGCUUUGUCAGCAUUGAUCAAGCUUAGAAAUAGUGGGGUCAUUGGGCCUAAUGAUCGCACAGUGGUAGUAAGCACAGCUCAUGGGUUAAAAUUCACUCAGUCCAAGAUAGAUUAUCACUCUAAGAGUAUACCAGACAUGUCUUGCCGGUUUGCGAACCCACCUGUGCAAGUAAAGGCAGACUUUGGAUCGGUUAUGGAUGUCUUAAAGAAGUAUUUGAGUAGGGAUCAGAAGCAUUAGUCAUCUUGCAGCACUAGUAUGUACUCUUCGAUGAGGUUUUGUUCUAGCCUUUUCACUUCAAGUUAUUUCUUUAAAUUUUCCUUUUGAAGAAGUUGAACCAUUUAAUCUUUAGAGUUUAUAGAGUAAAAAUCUUGUAAUACUAUCAGAUUUGCCUGUAUUGCUGGAAUUUGAAGAAACUUUUGUGGUUCACACUUUUUUCCACGUGCAUGAGUACUGAUUGCUUGAAAGUAAAGAUUGAUCAUUGUCAUAUGCUUAUUUAUUAUAUUUGAGUAAUUCUCUUGUUUUUCUUGCAUUUCGUUUCACCAUAUGAUAGAUGUGGCAGUAUCCGGUUUAUGUUCUUUGUUAUAGUUAUCUAGUCAAUCCAAGGGAGGUCAGGGAGUGGCACUUGCUGAAGGUGUCCUUUUCAGGGAGUGGCACAUUCUUCAUUUCCACUAGUGUUCAUCUGCUUUAUACUUUAUUGGGGGAAUAGCACUUGCAAAUUAUUUUUGUUCACAGUGAUUAUUAGAAUACGAUUUAUAAGACAGGUUGGGUGUUAGUUGUCUAGUCGAUGUAUGAAAUCCCAUUUCUAGACUGCAUAAGGUGUCCUAGUAUUUAUAAUUAAUGAAAUAUGCUGUGUAUCAGUGUAUGACACUGAGGCAAGCGCUCCCGAUCCUGGCUGUUAGGGAUACGUGCAUCCUAUCUAAAAUUUAAUAUCAGUUAAAUAACUCCUGCAAGUUGCAAAUCAUUCUUCUUUUCUACAUCUCAAGCACCACAAACUGAAUAAAGGAGUUUGCUAGACAGAGUGAACAAUGUUGGUAUUUAGGUAGCUAGUAUUCCAGGUUUAAAGUUAGUUUUACAUAGUCUUAUACUCUUACACUAUCCUUGAGAGUGAACAGUGCUGGUAUAUUGGUAGUCAGUACACCUAGUUUAAAGUUAGUGUUUAGGGUGAAUAAUGUUGGUAUGUACCUAGCCAGUAUUCCUAGUUUAAAGUUAAGUGUUGCAUCUCAUU